CACUAACCGUCUAACUAACCAAUCCAAUUGACAGCUAACUGCCAGCUAACUACCUCACACAAGUUGCACGUGUUAUGUGACACUUCCACUCUCAAUAGCAAGCCAAUAAGAUUCUGUGACAAUUUAUAUCACUUUGGCAUCGGUCACGGUGUUGUUUGAUGAAUUAACGAUCUUCAAUUAGAGAACGCCAUGAUUUGCAAACAAGUUUGAACUUUCCAGGUGAUUUGACAGGAAGCUUUAGCAGUAUAUCGACGACGAUAUCAUCGGGAAAGUUAUUCAUUCUAACAGCUAAAAGAUUUUGGGUUUGAGCUUCUGUUUGUUUUGUUCGACAGAAUUAAUGUCCUAAAUAUAGGGUUUAAUAUAAGUGAAGCAAGAAAACUAUUAACGCUGCCUUUUUUUCCUUUUUUUGGUGGAAGAAGGAUUCUCAACAUCUAACCUUUUUAAUUCGUUUACCCAACUUUGUCAUGUCGCAUGUUUUUGCUUUUUCCUAGCUAGUGGGAGUAGGAUUUCAAUUUUACCUUCCUUUUCUUGUUUUAUUGGAUUGAACCAAUAUUUCUUCCGUCACACCUGAAACAUUUGCUGAUUUUCUUUCACAGCCUUAUCAAUUUGCUUAAAUAGUUUCCACCAAUUCCAACAUAUUAACCAAGUUCCUUACUUCCUCAUGUAAGUAUAUCUACUGUGAGUAUAAUUCUAAAAUACUAACAAAUGAAGAAUUAAGAAAAAAUUGCACUUGUAUCUUAAAUAAGGUUGAGAGUAGCAUGGUUCAAUAUUCAAUAGAAGAACGAAAUAUAUCAAUCGCACAUGACAUAAAUAAUAUAUGACAAUUUAUUCAAACUUCCUCGAAACAAAGGUGAUUUCUAUAGCAGGCAAGGAAACGCGAAGAUUGACUUACAAAAUUAUGUGUUAAUAUUAUGCAGAAAGUUCUAGAAAAUUCAAUCAAUACUGCAUCACAAUUCCAAAUUAGUUGAGAUCCAUUAUAUAAUUUUGUCUUUAUUCCAUUUUAUUCAAACCACAUCAACAUAAAUGACAUUGAUAAUAAAGGUGGAAAAAUGCAAAACCAGCGGACAAAUUUGAGGAGAGCAUGAGAAAGUAUUAGGAUAUCUUUCCACUGUAAUCUUUGUACAGGCUUUAAUGCAUGAAAUAAAUGGCGAGUUCUGCUUUUUUCUAAGAAUAUUAAUCUACAUUUUAGUUGCUAUGUUAGAAAAACAAAGAAUACAACAUUUAUAUAGGAGUAGUUAGGGGCUCGGAUUAAAUCGAAAAUCCAAACCGAACAAAACGGAAUUUUAAUUUGGAUUGUUUUGCGAUGCUAAUGCUCCAAUUUCCUACCAUGGCAGGUGAUGAUCUACUCUUCUUCUUCACUGAUGGCUUACAAAAUUGGGCAAAACAAGAGCUCUAACGCCAUAAGGCCAAGGACAUCGAUGAAACCAUCGUAGGGGCUGAGUCUUUGACUGAAUAUAAGGCCAAGGGGCAUAAGGGAAGAGAUCACAACGGUAAAGCUAUCAAAGGUGAGAUAUCCUAGAGAAGGGUUAUUUAUGUACAAACAGGAUUUGCUUUAUAGUGUAUCUCAACAAGAAUUUAUUACACUGCAAUAAUCUUUUAGAUGGCUUCUAUCUAUUUUACAACAGCGGAAUUACCAGGAGCACUUUAAAUUAUAGUGAGGUUCUAUAAUUGUAAUUCAGAAACAAAGACUAGCACAACAAUGUGAGACAUGGAAUCUACCUACCUAGUAGAAUUGGAUGGUGCCAUGGACAAAGCUCGACUGGACCGCACUUUAGAUAAAUGAAGCUCAGGCUGCAUUUCUUCUCAACAACCUUAGCAACAAAAUCCUUCUCCAGCCAAGUGUCCCGAGUCUUCACGUUUUAUUAUCAACAAUCUCCGGAAGGCUCUUCAGUGCCUUUGGUGGAAAAAGAGAUUUAUACCAACGAAGAGAGAAAGAAAGAAAAGAUUAUGAAAUGAUGAUUAAACCAUGAUUUUUACUGCUGACCUGAUACAAGUACCAGGAAACAAAGGCAUCCGUAGCAGCAUAAUAUAGUUUUUCCUUAGAUAACUCAUUUGCCUCCCAAUUUCCCAGCCUGAUCUUACUUGGCUUGGGGAGCUGCAAGAACAAGAAAAUCUCCGUUGAAUCUCACACUUAAUUGCAAGAAAAGAAAGAAUUCUAAUUGAAGGAAACAAAACUAGAAAGAUUUACAGGGAGUAGCAGCAUAUCAUAAUUACUCCUAAUAUAGUAAGUCAAUUGUCUUUCCAGCAAGACUUUACACUCAAAAUAUGCACAUACGUCCAGCUGAUGAGGUAGCAUUUCUACUUGGUUUCUUCUCUAAACAGUUGCAAAGGUUGAAGUUCUCUGCGUAUACUUUAACAAGUCAACUAAGUAAAACUCAGUCUAUCGAUACAAAACAGGCUCAGCAGCCCUACAAAACUGGAAUAAAGCAAGAAACCAAUCCCCAAUUCCCCCUCUUCCCUCCCAACCCCCCAGCAGUUCAAGGAUCUUAAAUGGCGGCAACGAAAAACACAAAAUAAAGUAAAAUAGUAAUAGAUAUGAUUGAAACAGAAACCAAAAGAAAACCUGCUUGGCAAGAAGCUUCUCAGUUAGUGAUGCUAGACUCCAUUUCUUGGGCUCUUCAUCAAACUUUUUGUUGGCGAGUUCAGAAAGAUCUUCCAAAGUCUUUACAGAUACAUUGUGAUCUAGGGAAACUUUGUAAGCAUCAUGUGCAAUGCACACACCCACCUAUUGAUUAAUUGGAACACUAACAAGUUAAGAAACCAUAUCCUAUUAUUGUUUGAUAAAUGUUCCUGAAAAAUGAACAAGCGUCAACCUUCAGAAUUGUUGGGUCCUCAAGAAGAGAUUGCAGAGUUUGAGGGAUUCCGGAGUGAAUAAUAUGCAGAACGUAACAACUACUCAUGUCGCCACAUAUCUGCAUAACAGCAGCCUUCCCAGGUGCCACACCUGAAGAAAGCACCUAUUAUUAUGUAAUGAGCGAUACUAGGGUGCAAUUUCACAAAUAAGGACAGUGAAAUGAAGUACAAAAUCCAAUUAAUUAAGUACGUGACAACCGAAACAAAAGGUCAUGAGGAGUUAUAUGUGCCUUCUUAUACUAAAGAGUAUGCUUAAGUAACAAAAGUAUGACACACAAGAAGUGAUGCCAAAUAGGGAAUAAAUGAUGCAAAGAUCACCUAUAAGAACGGUAUUUAGCGUCCACUAAUUAUUCUUUUUGAGCAUAAAAAAGAAUAAUCUCUCAAUCAAAUAUUUUGGCAAAAAUAAAUAUAGAGAAAAUAAGUCUUCCUAAUCACCAUGAGCUACAUAGGAUUCUUGGUAGAUAUCCUAGUUAAGAUGCAGACGUAAUCACUAAGGUCCAAUGAAUUGUCUGUUUUCUAAAAGCACCUUUGUCAUCAGCACUGGAAACCAAGAAUCUUAGCUAUCAAAUUCUAUACACUCUCAUUCCUCCAAGCAGACGACAAUUGAUAAAGUGACAUGGAUAUUGAAGAUUCAUAUAUCCAGCUCCGACUAGCUUUGGUUGAAGCAUAGUAGUUAUCGUUGUCGUUGUAGACAACAGCAGAUCAAGUAAAUUUCCUUAAAAUCACGUGAUGAACUAUCAAAAUUCAUCAAGUGUCAUAACAAACUAGCAGUCAAAAAAUGACACAUUCCAUUUAACACCGCAGGGAUGGUACUUCAGAAAAAAAUUCACAAGUUAUAACUUACACAUGACAGUCAAAAAAUGACACAUUCCAUUUAACACCGCCUCAAAUGAAGCUUAGUAUAAAUAAAUUUAAAAGCUAGUACACUGAAAGACUGAUAGAACUCAAGAAUUCCCAUCGUAGUUUGCAAAGUUCAUAUAAAAGUCAAACUAUUAACAUUGAACUGACCUUUUCUAAAACUGGGCUUCCACUCAAUGUCAAAUCCAAGAGCAACAUGCCCUUCUUUCCUCUUCUUUUCCUCGACAAAAUUUAAAAGCUCUACUGCAGAUUUCUCCACUUCUUUAGUAGUUCUGCUAUAUAUAACAUGUCCUUUAAAUGAUAUUUCCGGGUAUUGCAUCACUAUCUUAGCUGCUACAUCACAAACAAAAAAUAAAACGAAACUUGGACAUUAAAUCCUUAUUUAAAAUUUAACAACCAUCUUUAAUACACAACAGUAACAACCGUUAUUAAUUUCCCCCAAAUUUAAUAGAAUUUCACCAUGAGAUCUUCAUAAGAUAGGUAAACUUUGGAGCAAUAACCGUAUGCCAAACUGAUUACAAUGUGCUACAAUAGGAAUAACAUUAGUUCGAUAUAAAUCAUCCCAUUAAGGGUUAAAUAGAUUUUUCUAAAGUUUAAACUAUUUCUAUAUAUAGAAAUAUGUCAUUCUUUAUUAAACAUGCUAAAAAUGAAGAGUGUAUAUUCACCGUCAUUGUAAGAAAUUUUGUUACACUGUAUCAGGUCACCCAAAAGAUAUCUACAAAUCCGACAUCUAACAAUUACAGUGUAUAUCAUAUUACAUUCUACUAAAUUUAUACUAACUCAAAUUAGAACAUGAUUUUUUUUUAUUUGCAACCAAAAAUCAUUACUCCAGAAAAACAUUUAACUACAAUGAAAGGGAAUAAAAAAAAGAGAGAGAAAAGCCGUUACCUUGAGUAGAAGAACGAAAGGAAUAACUACACUGAGACCGACUUCUAGUGCAAGAAGACAAAGACGACAUUGAAUUAGUAGCUUCAUUUUGGAAGUUAAAAACAAAAAGCGAUUCCGGCAAUCUCCGGCGACUUUUCCGGCGAUAUUCGUCGCCAUCGCCGGCGGAAGAUGAGUCUUCGGAAUUCUGAAGCCUUUUAGUAGCUGAUUGAAAUGCAACUUCGAUUUCCUGGAGUUCUUCUUCUGUAAAAGGUCGAUCCCAAUCGUUUGAUUCGCUAGAAAUUGGGGUUUCCAUUUUAUAUAUUUAUUGCUAAAAAGAGUACAGAAGAAUUUUCUUUUCAGCUAAAUAGCGGGCAUGUUUGAGCUUUUGAUUUUUAUAUUUCUUAUAAUUACAUUAUCCUCCCUUGUUGUUUUGUUAUGGUUUGACAGACCACCCAAUAUAACUUUAAAAUUACACUUUCCACCCUAUACUCUAGUGUUAAGAAUUUCAAUUUUUUCUUGGGUAUUAGAAUGAGAUAGAUCAAAAUUGAACAAAAUUGGAUGUUAAAGAUUCAUAUAAUCGAGCUUAAUUAGAUUGGGAUUUGCUGUAGUUAUUAUUGUGCACUUACUCUACCUUUGUAUUUUAAAGAAUGAACAUCGAUUUUCACUUACUCGUAAUGUAACUGGAAUUUCCAGCUCAUAAGUUGGACAUUGGAUUCUAUCAAUUAUGAAAGUACUUUCGAAAUUAUAAACACACCGAAAUUGUAGGUAAAGAAUACAAUUGACAAAAGAUUUGCAAUUGACAAUAGAAAGAAAUACAAACAACAUUACAAGUAUAACUCAGUACUAUAAAAAUAAAAAAGUUCACUAUAUACAUAAUCAAUAUUUUGUACCAUAAAUGUUUGAGGCAAAUUUUGACACAUUAGACAAUAUAACCUUCUUCCCUGAAUAGAAAAAACCUAUUCUAACUCUUACAACAACAAUAAUAAUUAUAUUAUAUUUUUCAAUUCUCUGCAAGUUGCGGUCGACUAUAUAAAUCUUCACUAAUCAUCUGCUCCAUUCAAGUUCAUGAUCUCAUACCAAUAUUAUAGUACAAAAUAUAUAUUUAUUAUUGUAUGUCAAAGUAUAUAUGACAUACCUCUUACAUUUGAGACAACAAACAAUUGUUGAAUCACACACAUUAAAUUUUCAAGAAAAAUCACUUAAUGUGGGGUACUAGCUGCAACAAUUUUAAGAAUAUCUAAAGGGAUAUUAAUAAAUUUAACUAAAGCAUUACGUGCAUUAGCAACCUCUGCAAUAUGAUUAUCAGCAUAAUCUUCAACAUCAACAGAAUUAGCAGUUCUCAUUGCCUUAAGACGAGGAUAACAAACUUCAAAAUCUGUUAUGGCAGUUGUAUAGUAUUUAAUCGCAUCGUUAAACGCGCCAUUAACAGUAGAAUCAACAGCGUCAUUAAUUAACUCUAUCGCGGGUAUGAAAUGAUCGUUGCAAUCGCUUAAAGCUUGUUGUGUAUCGGACGAUAAUUGUGCACUAUUAUUCAAAAGUUUCAAUCUCACUGUAAUUGACACAUUUGUAGCCUCUUGUUCGAUUUUUUUGAGUGCCAAAAAUGCUAUUGUUUUUAAAUUGGCUUUUUGAAGAGAAUCAAGGUCUGAUUUAGAUCUAUCUAUUUGAAUCCACGAAAUACAUUCGUUAUCGUUAUUACAUGCUUUGAUAAGAUUUGGUGGAGGAAUUUGUAAAGGUAGAAUUUGAAUUCUUCCUUUGACAAUAGGUAAUUGAAAGGUGAGACUUAGGCAAAGGACAAAGACUAAUGGAAUUAAUUUGACAAGAAAAGAAUUUGACCUCCUUGAAAUUGAAAAGGAGAUCAAGGAGAUCAAAGCCAUCUUAGUUAACUUUUUCUUUCUUUUUUUCUUGUUGUUUUCCUCUCUUUUUUCUUCCUUUUUUCAAAUUUAUUUGAGUAUUAUCAUUAUCUUCUUGUUUUCUCUCAUUUAUACGAAAAAUACUAUUGAUAGUUAAAAAAGAUUGGUAGAGAUAAAUGAUCUCUCUACCACCCAUUAUGAAGUGGUUUGAACUUUUUUGAGGGUCUAAUUUAUUCCAUUUUCUUGUUAUAAAAAUGAACUGAUUAAAAUUGAAGGAUUGUGUUGCAUCCAUGUAUAGUUAGUAUAAUGACCAUUCAUUUUGUUAAGAUUACUUCCUUUAGGAAAAAAAAUGUAAAGAAAAGCUUAUUUUUUCCUAGAAUUAUGCUGAUUAUAGUCUAUCCAAUUGGAUCACGUUGUAUAUAGCGGUAUUUACAUCUUCGCAACAACUAGCAAAAUUACAAAAAGUAAACGAAAUCUGAACAUAGCACAGUCAGACAUAACAUAAAAAUCGGUUUGACGGUGGAUUUAUCUAUAUGGCAUCGAUCAAUUUACCUAUAAAUUCAUCAAAGUAUUCAAUGAAUGAUAGAGUGUUAAUUGAUCUAUAAAUUCAUCGAAGUAUUCAAUGAAUGAUCGAGUGUUUAUUAGGGAGCGAAUGCUUGGGCACCUCAGCGACAGUGAGGCAUGAAUAACUCUGUCCACUAAGGCUUGAACAUAUAAAAAAUAAUCAUUUAGCAUUUUGUCUCUUUUUUGGGUUCAAAAACUUAUCUCCUAUGAUUUUCACCCAUUUCAUUGACCGCUAUGUCAUAAUUCAGAGUUUCCAAUAAAUUGGAGUCUGAGAACUGAAAACAAAAUGUAAUAAGCAGAAUUAUAGGUAGUUGACUAAUUUCUAUGUCUAUAGUCCUGUAACCAAAUGUAACAUCAUUCUACACUUUAACCCUCAAAAUCCCUCAAAAUGUCAUAAGCACCUUACAGACCAUGUGGAUAACAAUCAAAAUAUCACAGAAGAUACCAAGUCAUAUUAUUGAGCUAGCUACGGAAUAAAAGGGCAGCCCAGUGCACUAAGCUCCCGCUAUACACGGGGUCCGGGGAAGAGCCGGACCACAACGGUCUAUCGUACGUAGCCUUACCUUGCAUUUCUACAAUAGGAUGUUUCCAUAAUUCGAACCCGUCCCCUCCUGAUCACAUGACAACAACUUUACCGGAAUAGUAACUUAAAGCUGAACAAGUUCCCCAAGAGGAAAAAAGGAAAACUCUGCUGAUCGCGGAGAAGUUAAUUUAUUUCCCAAAUUCACACCAGUACAAGUAGCAGCCAAAUAAGCAGCAGCAAACUCCUAGUCCAGACGGCUAAGGGGUUAAGAUAAAUAUCGUGAACUUAGAACGAACAUCACGUCUGAUCUAGCAACAAAACCAUAUGAACUACUCAUUCUUCUGGUAUUUCCGCGGCCAAGGAUAGCAGAGAAACACCGUUACUCACUCUCAGCAUGUCAUCAAAAGAAGGAUAUACCUUUCGAACGAGCUAAUAGCAUUUGUGUACUAUAAGAUAUCGAGGUAGAAGAAGCUUCUUAGAACUGGAUAUAUAUCAUGCGUGUCUCCACUAAUAAAUAUUUCCGCAGCAGCAAAGACAACUGUAUGACUUUGUUCUUCAAAGCCUGAGACCAAUAAAAAAACAGUCGCAUAUAAUUCAAGCAAAAGAAGCAAACAUACAAUAAUAGCUUAAAUGAAGAAAAUGGAUAAUAUAACAUGAUAUCAUAAAAGAAUCUUUUCUUUGCCUUUUCCAAGGGUGCUUCUGAAUGCUAAUAGAAGUCAAGCAAUUUAAUAGAAGAGUUGAAGAAUGAAUGAGUUAUAAUGGAGGUAAUGAUGUUGUGCUAAAAUAACAACAUACUUUACUAUUUUCAAAUAUUGUCCAGAUUGCAUGGUAAGAAGGCGUGUGUCGAGAAGAAAAUUAAUACUAACAUAUAGGCAGAUACAGAUCCAAUGGCUUUAAUCUUACAGGUUUUUAGCACUGAAUUCAUUGUACAUUUGAGAAUCUUGGUUCAUAAGUUCAUAUUUAUGUAAUUUUAGUAGUUUUCACAAUACGCUUAUGUUGCGUGUCAAAAAAUACUGGGUUCGGUUGAACCCAUAAAAACUAUGCUACAUCCCCCAGGGUGUAUACACAAAAGAUAGAGCUAAGAAUGUCCACCUAACUCCCGAGCAUCUUUGUCAUUUAACAUAAAGAAAUCAUAUACGAUGAAAGAAUUACUUAACUAUGAGCAUAACAUCAUACAACCUAAUCGUCGUGAAGAGUAAUUGUUCCUAGAGUCCUAAGCAUCAAGCCCAAAGUACAAUAAGACUAUGCAAAGGCUUAUGCAAAAAAACAUAGUAAUAUCUUUGGUUAAAAAAAUAAAGGUGAAAAGAACGAAGUCCAUUUGAAUUCUCAUAUGAGUUGAGUCCUUAGAGAUAAUGAGUAGAUGAAAAUUAAAAGAUCUCCAAAUUGCCCUGCUCCCCCACUUUUAUAGGGCCUCAUUGCAGCAACAAGUCUCAAUCCUGAACAGAAAAUUACAAUGAUAUUUGUGCUUAAUUGUUUUUCAAUUGCUUUAGCUUAACUGAAAUAGCUUUACUAUUCAUUCUAAAUACAAGCUAGCCAUUAAGAAAAUAAUUAUCUGUCGGCAAGUAUUAUGAAAAGUGAUUAUCCAAUAAGCUUAAUAUGUUACAGCUUUUAAAAUAGACGAUGCAAGAGCUAUUAGGAGGCCAUUUUCUGACCGACAAGGAACCUAGUAUGAAACAAGUUUAGGAAAAACACAGAGCAUACGAACCUCAACGUAAUCCAAAAAUCUCUUCCGGAGGAUCAUAUAUAUGCCGAUCAGGAAAAAUCUCCUCAAAGUCUUGCUUAACUCUGUUCCGUAAUAGGGGAUGUGGCAAAAGUCCCUUCAAUAAAAUCCUGAAAGGCAGCUCCUCAGGCGGAUACGGAGACUUUUUCAUAUCCUCGAAAAUGUUCAUAGCAUCUGCAGGAGAUCCGUCUCUCAAGAAACCCCGAAUAACUUCUGUGAAUGUCUGACAAUCGGGAAAUAGAUCUUCCUUUCUCAUGCUCUCCCAUAACUUCAUUGCAUCAUCCAUCUUUCUCCGUCUAGCCAAUGCUAUGAUCAGGUCCUUGUAAAGAUAAACAUCGGGUUGGUACCAGUCCUGUUUCUGAAUAACCCAAAACACCUAUAAAUACAAACAAUUAGUUGUUUGUGCUAAUGCCAUUCCAUAUUCCAACCGAAGCAUAAAAAGCAAAUGCAUAGCUUCUCUCUCUCUCUCUCUCUCUCUCUCUCUCUCUCUCUCUCUCUCUCUCUCUCUCUCUUUCUUCAUAAAGUAAGUAAUUUUAUUCAUAAAAAGAUUUCUCAUAUAGAAGCAGUAAAUCAAAAAGUAAAGAAUCUACAAAAGAAUACGAGUCUCUAUAAUCGAUAACACCUCUUCUUUACAGGCUAGAAACUCAAGGGUGCAGCAAAAAGAAACUAUGUAUGAGAAGCUAUUCCUCAAACAAGGCUCAAAUGAAAAGUGCCUCUUUCACUGUACCGUACAUCAUCAUUAUAGCCCGAACAAAUUCAAUACCUCCCACCACAACCAAGUUUCCACCUGACAAUGUAGGAGGAGAUAACCCACAUCUUUAUAUGAACAUUUGAUCAUAAAGCACAGAGUAGCAUAUGUAAUCCUCUGUUUUUCCCAAAUUCUAAGUUGUCAAGAUCACUUUACUCUUUUUUCUUCAAAAUAGAAGUUCUAUUUACACAUGUCCAUUGCAGCACAGAGCAUUAAAAGAAUUAAGUCUACAUCUACAUAACCUUCAAUUCCAAAUUAACGUAGAAGGACAACUUCACAAUCAAACUUAUCAUAAAGCCACGGAAAACUAAUUAUCCAACUCUAUCCUUUAUGAUCUAAUAUAAGCAACUGCUCCUAUGUCUCGUGACCAUAACCAUCGGCUAUAAACUUGAUCACAGUAAAGUACCAAAAGCACUUUACUGCAGCAUCUGCCUUACAAGUGAAACUGUACAAAUUUUAUCACGUCCAAGUAAAACCGGGAAUCUAGAUGAAUGGUAACAUUACCAUUAGUCAUGAGGAUCCAGAAUAUCACGCAUUAAUUUACCAAAACAAAGACUCAACAACGAAAAGAAAGAUCGAUUCUUUGGGAGCCUUCCUUUCUUCAAACAAACGAAAAGAGAGAGAAUCAGGCCGAUUCCCGAAAUGCCUUUCUAGAUAUUCCUCAGUGUCCCAACUAUCACUACAGCUGGAUGGAGCCUAUAUUCAAUGUUCAACUGAACCCAAUAUUUAUAUGUAUUAAACCAAUAAACUUUCAACAAAUAUUAAGUUCUAAAUCGAUAAUUCAAAAGUACAACAAAGUCCAGUGCUAAGAAACCUUAAAGGUUGAACCUUUCAAGUUUAUUCAAGGAACGUGAGACCAUUUAAACCCUUCCACAAUAACUAGACAUUAAAAGGGUACAAAGAAAGACUACACUUCCUCUAUUACUAAAUAAAGGACAGCCCGGUACACUAAGCUACCGCUAAACACGGGGUCCGGGGAAGGGCCGGACUACAAGGGUCUAUUGUACACAUAACUACCCUGCAUUUCUGUAAGCGGUUGUUUCCACGGCUCGAACCCGUAAACUCCUGGUCACAUAGAGGCAACUUUAUACAACAAUAAAACUACUGAAACAACAACUACUACGUCUAAGUUCCAAACAAAUUGGAGUCAGCUAUAUGAAUCCUCACUUCUCCAUUUAAGCUCAACUCAUGUUAUCAUCAUGCAAAACUACUGAAACAGAAAUGACAAAUAUUUAUAGUAGAACAUAAUAAAAUUUGUGCAAUUCUUGAUUUCCUAUUUCGCUAACUACCUCAUAUGAACAAAGCUAAAAACGCCACAAUAAAUUUGCAGUAAAAAAGCUAACCUUAACAGCAAGAGAGACCUCUUCUUGUCUUUCAAGUUCAUUAAGGACAGAAAUCAAGUCCAUUUUCAAUAGCCUAAGUACAUGUAUUUUAACAAACUUAUCAAGCUUCUCUUCAUCAUCUUUGAAUCUUUUUAACCCAAGUAUCACAAAUAUUGCUUCUUUUCCUAUUAACUUUUUACCCCUCCAAAGUGGUCCUCUUGGUCUUCCAUCAUGGUAAAACCUCACAACCCCUAAGAAACUUCUAGAAAACUGUGGGACCCAUGAUGUGGAACAAGAAGAAGAGGCUAAGUUUGAAGAGAUUUUUGGUAAUGGAGAAACAGCUGAAAGGUGUUUAAGGAGAAAUAAAGAUGGGAUUUUUAGUCUUGAAAUGGUUCUAAUUGACAUUUUUGAAAAAUGGGUAUUGAAGGGGAGAGUGUGUAGGUGAGGGUGGGGAUGGGGGUGGGGGUGGCGGAGACGGUGGUGCUCCGGCGGAAGGGUUUAAGGGGUUGGUAUUAGGGUUGAGAACUUGCCAUUAUUAACUUGAAAUUGGAAAAAGAAUAGUCGGAGCGAAAAAUGAUCAAUUUGCGAAAAAAUGACCAAAUUGCAAAAACGACCAAUUUACGAUGCUGUGACUAUUUUGCAAAAAGGCAAAAUAUACUAUUUGGCUUUUCAAGUGGUCGAGAAUUACAUUGAACUUUCCAAAGCAAAUUACUACUAGUAGUAUAUCAUUUACAUUUUUCUUUUUAAAAAAAAGAUUUUAUCAGAAUUACAUACAUCGCAAAUAGAAAUUUACAUCACUUAUCUUCGAUCUUUUUAAUUGAUAUCCUUCGACGCUGCAGUCUAACUUAUAAUAAUAGCUAAAAAUAACGAAAUUAUACAAAGCGAGUGAAUUGUCAUCAUAACUUUGGAGGCCCAAAACAUUUAUUUUUUCAUAGUAGUGGGUAUUUAUUACUAGUUAUUGUUAUUGCUUUUUUAUUUAUUUUGUAGCUAUUAUUUUUUUAUUUUCUGUUGUUGUUAUUGAUCAUUUGUCUCUUUUCGUGUUCUUAAACCGAGGGUCUAUCAUAAACAACAUCUCUACCAUCUCAGGGUAAAAGUAAAGUCUGCGUACACACUACCCUACUCAAACUCCACUAUUGAAUUUUAUUGGGUUAUUGUUGUUGUCUCCUAUGAUCACUUACAUGUUACAAUUAGGGAUAGUUUAAGGGAAGGCUAGUAAAGCCUUUGUUUUAGGCUCCAGAUUUUGAGGUCCAAAAAAUUUAUGAUUUUUUUCUUAGAUAAUGCUGAAAUUAUAGAAAACAAUAAGAAAACUUUGUUAGAGAAAAAGAAAUAAAAGAUAUAUUUUUUUAGAAUUUAGAAUUAAAUUAUUCAAAUAUUCAUGUAAGCAACUAAAAUUUUUUACAAUAAUAUCUAAAGGUAAUAUAUUGCAAAUACAUAACUAGUAUCUUAUUAACCUAAGUUAAACUUUACUAAUAUAAUAAUAAUAUUAUAUAAAGUUAAAGGUUUCAUGUCUUUUAGUUAAGACCACUAUCCUAUAAAUAAAUAGUGAAAAGAAGAAAGAUAACAUUAAUUAAUUUUAUAUAUAUAUAUAUAUAUAUAUAUAUAUAUAUAUAUAUAUAUAUAUAUAUAAUAAANNNNNNNNNNNNNNNNNNNNNNNNNNNNNNNNNNNNNNNNNNNNNNNNNNNNNNNNNNNNNNNNNNNNNNNNNNNNNNNNNNNNNNNNNNNNNNNNNNNNNNNNNNNNNNNNNNNNNNNNNNNNNNNNNNNNNNNNNNNNNNNNNNNNNNNNNNNNNNNNNNNNNNNNNNNNNNNNNNNNNNNNNNNNNNNNNNNNNNNNNNNNNNNNNNNNNNNNNNNNNNNNNNNNNNNNNNNNGUUGCACUAACAACACAGCUAAGUUUUAGGUUUUUUUGUGUUAUUUUUAUAUUUUUUAUGUGUAAAAUAAAGAUAUUUUGUAAAAAAAAAUAUAAAACUAAAAACAAAUUUAUGGUAAAAAAAACUACAAAACUAAGCGACUCCGAAUAUUUUGAUUUUACGAUAGUUUGUAUUCUCCAAACAACUCACGCAUAUUUAAAUUAGGAAAAAAGGCCAUUAUUGCCCCUGUACUAUUGGAAAUAAUACAUGUUUGUCCUCCGUUUCACUUUACGUUCAAUAUCCACCCUACCGUUAACAAAGUUGAUGUAAUUGCCCAUAACCCUAACGGAUGGUCGAUGUGGCAGCUGACCUACUCCAUUUUUUCCAAGUCAGCUGCCAAGUCAGUUUUCCAUUAAGUUGAAAGUCCCAAAUCUACUCCCAAAUUAGAUUGACCCAAUUUCACUCCCAAAAUUUUGACCCUAACCCAACGUCUUCUUCUUCUCCCUCAAAAGACACUCCAUUGCUGAGAACUUAGGGUUCGACUGAAAUCUUCCCAAAAUUUUUCUUUUCUUCAUUCUCGUCGUAGCUUUAGUUGAUAAAUGUCUCAAGGUAGUUGUUCAUCACAGAUUAGGUGUCGCUGUGGCAUUAUAGCCAACCACUUCACUUCGUCUACUCCAUGUAACCCUGGAAGAAAAUUCUACAAAUGUCUGAGGCCUAAGGUUGUUAAUUUUCAGUUUUCUCUUUCUUUUUUUUAAGUUUGUUGUAAUUAUGAAAUCUACGAGUUUAGAGUUUGUAAUGAUUAGCUAAAUAUUCUUUUUGAAUUAUGUUUGAUAGCCUAGUUCAUGUGGUUUUUGGGAAUGGAAAGAUGAAAUCUUCCCACAAAGUGAUUGGACUAAUAUUAAAGAUAUAACAUCGUCGAUGGAUAAGGUUAAGAUGCAAAGGGACAAAUUGAAGGAAGAAGUAAUUGCCAUGAAGGCUAUACACCAAUAUGAAGUGAAUAAAGUCAUCAAGUUAGAAGAUAAACUUGCAAAGACAAGGAUGAUGCUUAUGAUUUCUUGGGGACUGUUUCUUGAUUUUUUUGUAGCCUAGGUGAUGAAGUGACUUUUUUGCAGAGUCAAGGUUGCUGAUUUUGAGUUAUAUAUAUGUAGCGGACUUUUAGGUCAAUUAAGCCAUAUUGUAGUAGUAGUAUUUGCUAUAGUAGAAUUUGUUGCUUUCCAGCUAUGUUCUGCAGUUUUGAUGAUGAUGUUGUAGUAGUAUUUGUUGGUCAGUUUUUUUCCUUAGUGUAUGAUGAUGUUGGUAUAGUAGUAUUUGUUGUUUUCCCUUACUAGUAUAUGUUCUGUAUAUUUUAUUGUUCUAAAUGGCAUGUUGAAUAACUAAGUCAUUUAAUUGCUUCCAAUCCAAUUCAUUUGACAUAAAAGACAGCAGCAAGUGUAAAACUGAAAAACUUACACUCCAGUCAUAAAUAUGGAUAACUAGAUAACGGAAAACUGAAAUUGAAAAGGGAACAAAAUGGACAACAAUGAACUGAACAUUCACCAACUAUCAACAUUCAUAAAGUGCGUUUAAUAAGACAACUAGAUACCAUAUUAUAACCCCAAAAAGAUGCCAACACCUAGUUAUAACAUGAUACCCAAUUGUCACAACCAAAGAACCACAACCAAAAUAUAAAGUUUACUGUCAUGGCAGUAAUUACCUUUGUUUUAAAAGGCAUUUCUGGGGCAAGCCCCGGGGCGAUGGUGUGGGGCGAAAGUCUCAAGCGGCGUAUGCUCCGCAAUUUGGGGCGUACGCCCGGGCGUUCGGGUCGCAUUUUUUUUAGUAAGGAGUAAGCCCUAAAGACUUUUUCAAAUUAAAAUAAAAUUUGUUGAAUUAGUCCUUCAUAUAAUACCUAAAUUUUCAAAAGUCAGUUUGGUAAUUACUCAAAAGGUUUAAAGAGGAACUCAAAAGUAUUAAAUUUAAAAGUAAAGACCUUUUUUAUUGAUUUAAGCCCUAAUUCAUAGUUUUUUCAAAUUUGUAUCUUAUCCGCUAGUCUGUUAAUAUCUCCCAAAAGCAACAAAUAUUUUUUUUUUUUUACAAAUACAAAGAGAACUACAUUUUUCUUCAUAGCAGCAAAUUCAAAGUUCAAAUUGCAGGUUAAUCAUCCUUUUUAUUCCUCCAUAUAGAAAACUUUAUUCUUUUAGACUCAAAUUACUUGUUCUUGUAAGUAACGUAUAUAUAAUAGAUUGUUUUGAUUAGUUUUUUGUGGGGAUGGAGCACACAUAUAUAUAGUUUUCUUUAAUUUUUAUGUAAUUUUUCCUAUUUAUAAAUAUUAACUGUCAUUAUAUUAUUUUAUAAAAUAUUAAAAAUUAAAUACCUAUGGGGCUUACUCCCCGCGCCUCGGGGCUUACGCCCCGCUGAGGCAUAUAUAAAACGCCCUGCCUUACGCCCACGCCUUUUAAAACACUGGUAAUUACAAUACUUCAAAAAAUUUACAUCAUAAAAGUUCACUAGAAGCAAAUUUCCAUCACUUCUGCUCCUUACCACUACCCUUUUUUGCUUGCAACUUGGUCAACCUUUGUUUGUUCAACUGAUUUCCAGUGAUGGCAGAAUUUUCCAGCCAUAUUAGGCCUUUUGUUGAGAAAGUAAGCUUCGAUGGUUGACUUACACCGCUUGAAUCACUAAUAAAUCCAAUUUGCCUGGUUGUAGCUGGUACGCUUUACUGUCUCAGCUGGAGUCUUGUCCUUGCUUCUGAGAUACUCUUUGGUCUUAUAGCUAUGUCAGGCUCACGUGCAAAGUUAGGGAUCUCAAAAUCUAGGCAUUCAUUGCUAGUUGGAAGCUGUCUUCGAACUGCAGGGGUUGGCAUAAACACAAAGUUGCUGGAUUGACUGUUUUGGCUUGGCUGGGGUGCUGAUAAAUUGAAGUCAUCUUCAGUUGGGAUAUCUGCAGCAGCUGGGGAUAUAGGCUGUUCAUCAUCAGGUUCAUCAACUAAAGUUCUUUAUUUUUUUUCCUGUUUUCCCCUUGUUUUGCCACCCAUUGGCUGUUUUCCUUUAGAGUGUUAUUAUCAGCAUAUACAAUUAUAUGUUAGAACAAGACAGAAAAAAAUAGAAGCAUAAAUUUAUUGUUCAAGAGAUAGAUUACCUCGGCACAUCCCCUAACAUUAUGUCCAGGUUCUCCACAGUUAUUACAUGUCAUUACUCUCCUUUUUCUGGAUUGAGAUCAUUGUCAUUGCCUAUUAAAGGACUCAUUUGUCUCUCUUGUUCUUUUUACUUUUGGCGUGCCGGCUAUUCUUACAAAUUCAUAUGGUUCCGUGUUCUGUGAGGGGUCUAUCUUCCAAAACUUUUCUCCUCUCACAGGUUGUAACUUAUGAGAAUAAGUUUGGAGAUAUGCCUUUUUGAAAAGGUACCAGUGAAUCCCACUUAAAGGGUCAACCUUCUUGUACAGUAGGGCACAGAUUGCAUGAGGACAUGGGAUUCCACAAAGGUCCCAUGUCCUGCAAGUGCAUUAUUUUACCCCCAGAUUUAUAAUGUGCCUAUCACUACCUUCUGUCACUUCAUAACCUUGGUCAGCACUGCCAUUCAUAUGACACUUUUGUGCAAUCCUCAUGAAUUGGUUAUACAAAUUUAGAGUCUUGGGACUGUAUUCAUUUCCCCACCCCACCACUCCAGCUUCAUUAUCAGUCAACAUAUUCAUAACCUUGAUUCUGAUCUUGGCUUGUGUCUGGCUUGCAAUAUCCAUGCAUUGAAGGACUCAGUGAGUUACUAUCCACUGACUGGUUCUUGCAGGUAGUAUCAAAGAAUGCCCUACUCCAGCAGGUAGGUGGACACUUUAACAGAUCUUCAACAACAUCCUUACCAUCAUCAUCUACUUGGCUCAUACUCUUUAACUAAUCUUGGAAUUCCUCUUCAUAGGUACUCAAAGCUGCCCACCAAAGAUAUUUCUUGUAUUCCUCAGACCCCCAUCUCUUGCACCAGUUUGUUUCUAUGUGUCUUACACAGAAUCUGUGGUGUGCUUAGGGAAGAACUCCUGAGAUUGAAUCAAUCAACCCCUGCAUAUAAAGGAAAGAAGAAGAAUUAUAAUCUAUGUAUACAUAUUGGUAAAAUAAUAAAAUAAUGAAGUAAAGUGUUCAUACCUUCUGCAUAUAUGAGAUAAAAGUGAUUCCUUCACCCAUCUUAAGGUCCAGUGACAUUUGUAGAUGACUUAAAAACUAGUUUCGUGUGACUUUUGUUUCUUUAUCCACAAUAUCCCAAGAUAAUGGAUAAAAAUAAUUUGCAGAGUCUUGACCAACUGCCACAAAAAGCUGACCCUUAACUUUCCCUUUCAAAAAAGUUCCAUCCAACCCUAUAAAGGGCUUCAACCCACUCUUAAACCCCAUCUUCAUUGCAUGAAAACAUAUGUACAUCCUUAGGAACCUUUUCUUGCCUUCAGCAAGAGCAUCAUUUGAUAAGUUAACUACUAUAUCACUUCCAGGAUUACUAAACUUCAAUUCAUUAACAUAUGCCACCAACUUAUUAUAUUCAUCAGUAAAACUCCCUUACAGACUCUCCAAAAUCAAUCUCUUUGCCCUCUUACACUUUGCCUCACUAACAUUUAUAUUAAAUGCAGCCUUCAAGCUUGCCCUAAUCUCUCUAACCUUAAUUUUUGGAUCAUCUUGCAACCCUCUCUUAAAGUAUGCAACAAUGGUCUUGGCAUUAACUAUAUGAUUCUCAUAUGCAGGUUCACAAGUGUGCUCAGAAUUUAAGGUCCUGAAUUCAGCCCCACCCUCUGAAGAAUUCCUAGAUAUAUGACAUACAAAAGGGCAUCCAGCUUCACAAAUAUACCUAAGCCUAGUUGGGUCACUUUUAAGUUGCUCUAGCCCAUAACCAUUUGCAAGUGCAUACAUAUUUAUCACUUUCCUAGUUUCAGCAAUAUCUUUGAAUGUCAUGGACCCAUCCAACUCUUUAUAGUUAGUCAAUUUAUCAUUAAUGUCUCUCUUCUUUUGUGUAAAAAGUUUCUCUAGUAUAUCAGAAUCAUAGUCUGAAGAAACAACAUAUUCAUUAUCAUCACAAUUAUCACUUUCAUCACAAUCAGUGGCAGCUUCAAGUUCAUCAGGUUCACCAUGCUCAUUGUGAUGGAUUAUAUUAGGUACACUAAUACUUGGCUCACAUUCUUCUACAGCAAAUAUGUUAAUAACAUUAAACCGGUUGUUCACAAAGUCCAAUGAAGUCCUAAUGCCAUAAUCACCUUCUAUUUCAUAGUAUGCACCAGAAGGACCAUUAAUUAUCAAUUGUUGGACUCCUAUAUACCCCAGGUUAAAAACAUAUCCAUCCACUAAAUCAUUAUAGGAAAGCAAGUCAAAGUCAAAACAUUCCUUGGUGUGUAGAAAUUUUCUUGAGUAUGCCACGAGUGGAUUCUUGACCCACUCUCCACCAUGAUGAAAGACCAAAUCCAGCAGGACCAUUGUUAGUAAACUGCAUAAUAAAGAAUAUACAUAUUUAAGACAAACUAAAAUCAUAUAAGGUAAAAAAUAUAGAAACAGUAUAACAUACACACUAAAACCAGUCAACAUAAACAAACAAAGACUAAUGGAAGGCAGAAUAAAAUAGAAUAAUAGAAGGUACAGAGAUAUAGGCAGAUAAAGGCAGAAUAAAAUAGAAUCAGCCACACAUUGAAGAAGUCAGUCAACCACAAUAAACUAAUAGAUGCAGCCAUGGAUAUGGGGGACCAUACAUUAAAGUAUUAAAGUAACAAAUAAAGUGUCCCCAACCCCACCCUCCAAUAAACAACGCAAAAAAGAACAAAUUAAAGCUAAUACAAAAAAUCUAAUUCACUUAUUUUCUAUAAAUAAAAAAAAAGGAAGUUGGGACCACAAAAUAUUAAAAUUGAAACCCUAAACCACCAAAGGACUUUUCAAUACCAAGAAAGCAUAAACCAGAUAUGAGGCUGAUAUGAUGGAAUGCCCUCAGAGACUUGAUGAUGUUAUGUACACCUAUACCUAUGCAUGAUACGACAUUUAUAUGCACGUGCAUGACAUUAUAAAUGUUUCAGGAUUCACAAAGUUAUUUAGACUUACAUGUGGAAUUCUUUACUCCAUGUUUCAUCUAUGUCUUUUAUGUACUGAUUUUCAUGUCUUACAUACUCAGUACAUUAUUCGUACUGAUGUCCCUAUUUCCCGGAGCCUGCGUUUCAUGCCCGCGGGUGCAGGUAGACAGGCUAACAGUCCCCCUUCUUAGGAUCCUUGAUCAACGAGAUUUGGUGUGCUCCAUUUGAUUCGGAGCUGCUUUGAGUUUUGGUGCGAUGUGUUUGUAUACAUAUAUGGGUAUGACGGGCCCCAGUCCCAUCCAUUAUACAGUUGUACACUCUAUUAGAGGUCUGUAGACAGUCAUGUAUAGUUGAAUAGUAUGUGGCCUUGUCGGCUUCCAGUCUUGGAUAUAUAGUUGUCUAUAGUAGCCUUGUCAGGUCGCCUUACCGUAUUCCGCAUGUAUAUGUAAAUAUGUCUUUUGGAUAUGUUUUCCUCACGUAUGUUAUUCACGUAAUUCAGCAGUUUAUUGAAAGAUGUUAUUCAUGACCUACCCUAAAUUCAUAUUUAUAUCUUAGACGCAUGCUUAGGGGUGUUCGACAUGUAGGACUCGGACACUCGUCAUUGCCCAUCGAUUUAGGUCGUGACAAAAGUGGUAUCAGAGCAGUUAUGUCCUAGGGUUGUCUACAGACCGUAUCUAGUAGAGUCUUAUUUAUGGGUGUGUUGUGCACCACACUUAUAGACAGGAGGCUACAUGAUAUAUAGGAUGUUAUCCUUCUUUCUUAUCUUAGAUCGUGCGAUAUAAGAAUUCAUUUUCUUAACGAUAUGUUAUGUUUUCAACGAUGCCUAAGAAGGCUACAGCCACCCAGAAGGGCAAGUCUGUGGCUGAUGAGACUACUAGUCGAGUGCCACGAGUUACUAGGGCUCGGGAAGAGUCUCAUAGUGAGAUUACAUCUCAGACUUCACAUACCCCGCCCUCUCCAGAGGAGCUCCGAGGGCCACCAGCUCCAGUGCCUUCCCCUAUUCAUCAAGCUCAUCAGCCAGAUGCACAAGGUCAGGAGAUGAGAGAUGUUAUUCAGCUAUUGACUCGAUUAGUAGCCGCACAUGCUUGGCAUCAGGAGGUAGGUAUUGGUCAUGCAAAUAGGUCAAUCAGUGCGAGGGUUCGUGAUUUCAUUAAUUUGGACCCUCCGGUGUUCAUUGGAGCAGAUUCAAACGAAGACCCUCAUGUAUUUAUCGAUAGGAUGCAGAGGACCUUGAGGGUAAUAAAGGCCACUCAAACUGAGUUAGUUGAGCUAGCUUCCUAUAGACUUCAAGAUGUUGCAAUUAAUUGGUACGAGUCUUGGGAGUUGUCCAGAGAUGAGGAUGCCCCUCCAGCAGUAUGGCAAGAGUUUACAGAGGCUUUUCUUCAUCAUUAUAUGCCACUAGAGCUUAGACGGGCCAUAGUUGAUAAGUUCUUGACCCUUUGGCAGGGUAAUAUGAGUGUUCGGGAGUACAACCUUCAGUUUGACUCAUUGGCUAGGUAUGCUCCCACUAUUGUAUCUAAGAUGGAGGAUCGGGUUCACCGGUUCGUGAUGGGGUUGGAGCCGCACCUGCUUAACGACUGUAUGUCGGUCUCAUUUCAGCAAGCAAGGACAUUUAUCGUAUUUAGGCAUACGCUCAGGGUGUAUAGGAGCGUAAGAAGAAGUAGAGGGCCGAUCGUGAGCAUGAUAGGGGCCAGAGUAAGAGAGCGAGAUCUUCGGGUCCUUCUGGUGAGUUUCCAGGUGGUCAGAGAUAACAAUACCUGAGGUAUCCAGCCCAGCCAUCGGCUAGCGCACCCCCUCGGUUUGCCGGUAGGAGAUUUGAUCGUUCCACAUAUUCAGGUCCUAGUCAGAAUUCCAAGGCCUCAAGUUUUCAGUAUAGGGGUGAGUCAAGUCAGAUGAGGUCGCCCUUGCCACAAUGUGCUCAGUGUGGUAAGCAGCAUAUCGGGCAGUGCCGUAUGGGGUUGGGUGUUUGUUAUACUUGAGGUUAUCCAGGCCACAUUAUGAGGGAUUGUCCGAAGAGAGGUGAUGCAAGCAAAGUUCAUCCAACGGGAUCUGUAGCCGGUUCGUCAUUAUCAGUACGCCCCCUGGGGCAAGGUUCACAAGUACUAAUCGGUCGUGGUAGAGGCAGAGGCGAAGCAUAUAGCUCGAGAGGUCCUUAGAACAAUAUUUAUUCAUUAGCAGGUUGACAGGAUCAUGAGUCGUCACUUGAUGUUGUUACAAGUAUAUUAUCAGUCUCCUCAUAUGAUGUAUAUGUAUUGAUUGACCCAGGUUCCAACUUAUCAUAUGUUACUCCGUUGGUGGCUAGUAAGUUUGGAAUAUAACCUGAGUUGGUUAAACCUUUUGAGGUGUCCACACCUGUUGGGGAUCCAGUGAUAGCUAAGCGGGUAUAUAGAGAUUGUAUAGUAGUAGUUCAUAGUCGAUCUAUAGUAGCAGACCUAAUCGAGUUAGAUAUGGUAGAAUUUGAUGUUAUAAUGGGUAUGGAUCAGUUGUCUUCUUGUUAUGCCAAUGUUGAUUGUAGAUCAAAGAUGGUCUGAUUCCAAUUUCAAGGGGAACCUGUUUUGGAAUGGAAAGGUAAUACGGCAUUGCCGAGAUGUAGACUUAUUUCCUAUCUCAAGGCAAGGAAGAUGAUCAGAAAGGGCUAUAUUUAUCACUUAGUUCGGGUACAGGAUAUGAAAGUAGAGUCACCAACCAUUCAAUCUAUCUCUGUGGUUAAUGAAUUUCCCGAUGUUUUUCCCAAUAAGCUUCCGGGUCUUUCGCCAGAACGAGAAAUUGAGUUUGCUAUUGACCUAUUACCAAAUACUCAGCCAAUAUCUAUUCCUCCCUAUAGAAUGGCACCCGCAGAAUUGAGAGAGUUGAAGGAACAACUAAGGGACUUGCUUGAAAAAGGCUUUAUCAGACCAAGUACAUCACCGUAGGGAGUACCUGUGUUAUUUGUGAGGAAGAAAGAUGGUUCCUUGCGGAUGUGUAUUGAUUAUAGACAGUUGAAUAAGGUGACGAUCAAGAAUAAGUACCCGCUCCCGAGGAUUGAUGAUUUAUUUGAUCAGUUGCAAGGUGCCAAGUGUUUCUCGAAGUUAGACUUGAGGUCCGGGUACCAUCAGGUAAGGGUUAAGGAGAAGGAUAUUCCGAAGACAUCAUUCAGGGGCAGAUAUAGGCACUUUGAGUUUCGUGUUAUGUCAUUCGGUUUGACUAAUGCCCCAGCGAUAUUCAUGGACUUGAUGAACCGUGUGUUUAGACCCUUUCAAGAUUUGUUCGUGAUUGUAUUUAUCGAUGAUAUAUUGGUUUAUUCUCGUUCAGAGACUGAGCAUGCAGAUUAUUUGCGUACUGUGCUCAGAGUUCUACAAAAAAGGAAGUUGUAUGCAAAAUUCUCUAAAUGUGAAUUCUGGUUGAAUUUUGUAGCUUUCCUUGGGCAUAUUAUUUCGGGUGAAGGUAUCUGGGUUGAUACCCAAAAGAUUGAAAAGUAAAGACUUGGCCUAGAACCACGACACCGACGGAGGUUCGUAGCUUCCUCGGCUUGACAGAUUAUUAUAGGAGAUUCGUAGAGGAAUUUUCUUCCCUUUCAGCACCAUUGACAAAGUUGACUCAGAAGGGAGCUAAGUUUCAAUGGACCGAUGCUUGUGAAUGAAGUUUCCAGGCAUUGAAGGACAGAUUAACUUCAGUACCAGUUCUAACGCUCCUAGAGGGGACCGAUGGUUAUGCUAUCUAUUGUGACGCUUCGGGCGUUGGAUUGUGUUAUGUAUUGAUACAACAUGGUAAGGUUGUAGCUUUUGCUUCUAGAGAACUAAGAAAGCACGAGAAGAAUUACCCGACCUACGAUUUAGAGUUAGCCGCGGUGAUUCAUGCACUAAAGAUGUGGAGGUACUACUUGUAUGGCAUUCAUGUUGAUAUCUACACGGAUCAUAAGAGCCUUCAGUAUAUUUUCAAGCAAAAGGAAUUGAAUUUACGACAAAGGAGAUGGUUGGAGCUACUGAAAGACUAUGACGUUGAUAUUUUAUACCAUCCAAGGAAGGCGAAUAUAGUAGCCGAUGCCCUCAGCCGUAGAUCUAUAGGUAGCAUGUCAUAUUUACAACUAGAAAAAAAUGGGAUAGCCCAUGACAUUCAUCAGCUAGCUAGUCUUGGAGUUUGAUUAUUGGACUCAAGUGAUACUGGAAUUACUAUUCAGGACACGACAACAUCCUUUUUAGUAAUUGAAGUGAACGAACGCCAGUACGCAAAUCCUGUGUUAGCACAUUAUAGGGAUACAACCCCUCAGAAGGAGAAGACACCAUUUGAGAUUACAGAAGAUGGGGUCCUCAGGUAUCGAGGACGAUUAUGUGUCCCUAAUGUUGCAGGGUUGCGUCGGCAAGUUAUGAGAGAAACUCACUAUUCUCGUUAUUCUAUCUAUCCAGGAGAAACAAAGAUGUAUCAUGAUAUUAGAGAAAUAUAUUGGUGUGACAGAAUGAAAAAGGAUAUAGCGGAGUUUGUUGCUCAGUGCCCUAACUGUCAGCAGGUUAAGAUUAAGCAUCAAAAACCUGGUGGACUAUUUCAGGCUAUAGAGAUCCCGACUUGGAAGUGGGAAGUAAUUAAUAUGGAUUUCAUUGUAGGCUUGCCUCGUACCCAGCAUAAGUUCUAUUCUAUAUGGGUGAUUGUUGAUAGACUUACAAAAUCAACCCAUUUUCUUCCCGUUAUGAUUACAUAUUCCGCAGAGGAUUAUGCAAGGAUUUAUAUUAAGGAGAUAGUUCAACUUCAUGGUGUCCCUAUAUCUAUUAACUCGAAUAGAGGAGCUCAGUUUAUAGCUAAUUUCUGGAGGUCCUUUCAAAAAUGAUUGGGAACUCAUGUAAGUCUUAGUACAAUAUUUCAUCCUCAGACAGACGGACAGGCUGAACGUACUAUUCAGACACUUAAGGAUAUGUUACAGGCUUGUGUGAUAGACUUCAAGGGUAGCUGGGAUGAUCAUUUGCUGCUUAUUGAGUUCGCGUAUAAUAAUAGCUAUCAUACCGGUAUUCAAAUGGCUCCAUAUGAAGCUCUUUACAGACGGAAGUGUAGGUCGCCUAUAAGAUGGUUCGAUGUUGGGGAAACUAAGUUAGUAGGACCAGAGUUGGUACAACAUGCAAUCGAUAAGAUUAAGCUUAUACAGGAAAGGCUAUUAACAGCUCAAAGCCGUCAAAAAUCUUACGCGGAUAAUCGACGACGAUACUUGGAGUUUUAGGCUGAUGAUUGGGUAUUCCUAAAGGUAUCACCAAUGAAAGGCGUUAUGAGGCUCGGUAAGAAAGGAAAACUUAGCCCUCAGUACAUUGGACCAUAUAAGAUCAUACGCAAGGUAGGCCAUGUAGCAUAUGAAUUAGACUUGCCUUCUGACUUGGAGUCUGUACAUCCAGUCUUUCAUGUGUCUAUGCUUCAUAAAUGUAUCGGAGAUCCUUCCAGAAUCGUGUCAGUUGACGAUGUUCAGGUCAUAAAGCAGUUAUCAUAUGAGGAAACUCUCAUUGUUAUACUAGAUAGAUAGGUUCGGAGAUUAAGGACUAAAGAGGUAGCUUCAAUGAAAGUACUUUGGAGAAAUAAUAAUGUGGAAGAAAUGACUUGGGAAGCCGAAGAAGACAUGAAAUCUAGGUAUCCUCACGUGUUUCCUCUUCCAGAGAAGGAUCCGACUGAGACAUCACAGCCUUAAUGUACGAGUAUGGAUUCUUGUGUUAGUUAUUGUCAUUGGUCGUGUAAGGCCAUUGUCGUUUUUGAUGAUUGUGGCAAUAUGUAACAUUAAAUUAUUGAGUUUUCUACAGGAAGGGUAGUAGUAGUACUGUUACAAAGACGACUCUGCCAAAAUUUAUAUAGAUCCUGGGGAGUGAAACAUUCGAGGACGAAUGUUUCUAAGGGAGGAAGGAUGUUACAUUUCGCAUUUUCUACGUUAAAGUUUCUUCAUAAGUUAAUCGACAUAGACUCGGGAAUGAGAUUAUUUUUUAUGUUAUAAGUAUUAUGCUACUUAUAAUAAGUGAUAAGUAAAUUCGUGAAGGUUAGAGGGUAAACGAGUGGAAGAAAAUGAGUUUCGUUGAAGUUUGACAUUUUGUGGUAAAAUACGGUCCAAGCUAUAAUACCCCGUAUUUAUGGACUAGUGUCAUACAAGGUACCACAUGACCAUGAUAGUAAGGUAUAUAAAGUGUGUUAAAAGUGAUUAGUAUUUUAAGUAAUUUGAGAUAAUUCUUAAUUAUGUGGGUAAUUGAUUAAUUAUUGGUUAGUGGGAGAUUAACAAGUUAACAAAUCAAUUGGAAAAUUUGGUGGAUAAGUUUGGUAACGUGGCAGCAAGGGGCUAUGUAGCCAUGACUCUUGAUUCAUGAAGAUUAGGUGGCACAUUUAAGGGAUCUUUGGGCAAAACUAAGCCACAAAAGUGGGGCCCACAACCUAUAACUUUAAGAGACAUUCUUAUCUUAUUGAAGUGUGAUGCUAACAUUUGCUAAGUAACAGAUCUUCUUCAGCAAAUUCAUACGAGAUUAUGUAAUAGCAGCGUGAGAUGCAAUUCUAAGAGAACACGGUAUAAUCUUUCUCAAGAAUAUCAUAUGGAUUUUUCCCUACUUCGAUCCGCCAUUACAUAUUUUUCGCAAAAAAACAUAGGUUAAAGGGAUUGUUAAGAGAAUCGGCUCAGGUAUGUUAAGGCUACCCCUUCUUUCUAUUUGGCAUAAUUCAUAUAAUACAAACGAAACGAGCAAACACACAGAUUUCAUAAAUGACUCUAUUCAUAGAAGUACUAGGGGUGUCUAUGUUCUUCAUUCCCCAUGUGACUUUUUAUUAUAUCUUAUGUUCAUGAGUCUCAGAAAAAUACGUAGUUGAUAAAGUUUAUCCGAAAGGCAUAUUGAUCUUAUAAUAUUUCGAGAAAUCUUAUUAACGUAUUUCUUAUGCAUUUCAUUCAUUUAUACAUGUACAUUGACCCAUGACCAGAUGGCGUUAUAUACACAUAUAUUAUAUGUAUAUGGGAUAUGGGAAAAGGUUACGGCGUUAUAUACACACCACCACCUGAUCAGCUGAUAUAUGUUAAUGAUUUUGCUCACAAUGGCUGGGAUGAUAUGAUGGGAUACCCUCAGAGGCUUGAUGAUGUUAUGUACACCUAUACCUAUGCAUGAUACGACAUUUAUACGCACGUGCAUGGCAUUAUAAAUAUUUCAGGAUUCACAAAGUUAUUUAGACUUACAUAUGGAAUUAUGUACUCCAUAUUUCAUCUAUGUCUUUUAUGUACUAAUUUUCAUGCCUUACAUACUUAGUAUAUUAUUCGUACUGACACCCCUAUUUCCCGGAGCCUGCGUUUCAUGCCUGCAGGUGCAGCUAGACAGGCUGACGGUCCCCCUUCUUAGGAUCUUUGAUCAGCGAGAGUUGGUGUGCUCCAUUUGAUCCGGAGCUGUUUUGAGUUUUGGUACGACGUGUUUGUAUACAUAUAUGGGUAUGACGGGGCCCAGCCCCGUCCGUUAUACAGUUGUACAAUCUAUUAGAGGUCUGUAGACGGUCAUCUAUAGUUGAAUAGUAUGUGGCCUUGUCGACUUCCAGUCUUGGAUAUAUAGUUGUCUAUAGUAUCCUUGCCGGCUCGCCUUUCCGUAUUCCGCAUGUAUAUGUAUAUAUGUCUUUUAGACAUGUUUUCCUCACAUAUAUUAUUCACGUAAUUCAGCAUUUUAUUGACAGAUGUUAUUCAUGACCUACCAUAAAUUCAUAUUUAUAUCUUAGACGCAUGCUUAGGGGUGUUCGACAAGUAGAACUCGAACAUUCGUCAUUGCCCAUAGGUUUGGGUCGUGACAGAGGCACCUGCAAACAAAAAGAACAAAAUUAGGGUUUAAUAAUGUAAAACUAUAUGCAAGUGAAUAUAAACGCAAAACACACACCUACCAGCUUGAAAUUAUCGACAAAGAAAGGGAGAAGUGAAAACCCUAACCAACCAAGAACUAUUCUAAAAACCCUAACUUCAAUAAACAAUAAAUUAGAAACCCUAUAACAAUUACACUUUGGUUACACACACCUAUCAGCUUGAAAUAAUCGAUAAAGAAAGGGGGAACUGGAAUCCCUAACCAACCAAGAACAAAUCUGAAAGGGAUUCGAAACCUUAGUAAAACUUUACUUCAGUUAUAUACAAGAAAGAGAUAAAACUAACAGAAACAUCAAGUUUUUGGGAAUAAGUUCUUACCUUUGCUUGAAAUCGGCACUGGAUGCAAGGAUUCUGACGGCUUUGGUUCUCUCGUUUUCUUUCAAGUACUAGAAGGUUCGACCAAAUGAAAGCCUCUAGUCUUUUUACACGAGUUAUUUCUAUUUAUUUAGUGGGCAAACGGUUACAUGUUACGGGUCAAGAUUUUGGGAGUGAAAUUGGGUCAAUCUAAUUUGGGGUCGACUUGGGGCUUUUAACUUAAUGUAAAGCUAACUUGGCAACUGACUUGGAAAAAAUGGAGUGGGUCAGCUGCCACAUCGACUAUCCGUUAGGGUUAGGGGCAAUUAUAUCAACUUUGUUAACAGUAGGGUGGGUAUUGAACAUAAAGUGAAACGGAGGACAAACGUGUAUUAUUUCCAAUAGUUAGGGGCAACAGUGACCUUUUCCCUUUUUAAUUAUACAAAUAUGAUAAAAACUAAUUUGUGAUGUUAUUGUUAUAGUAGAAGAAUCUUUGGUUACUUUAAUGUGAUAAAAUAAUAUAGCGUGUUCACUGUGAUAGUUACUAAAGCUCAAUAACUAUUGAACGGAUUAAUUCAAAGUUUAUUGGUAGAAAGGACUGCUAUUUUCCCCCUCAUUUGCGUCCAAGAAAAGUGUUUGUAUUAAGAGAUAUGGUUCAAUCAAAUUUAGUAGAUUUAGCUCAAAUUUUAUAUUUAUCUUAAAAAAUUUAGUCAAUAUAUCUUAAAGGUAAAAAUUAUAAAUUUAUAGUAAUUAAUAACUUGAAAAUAUAAAAAUUCUGAAUUCAUAAUCUUUAAGUCCUCACUCCGCCUUUAUGCCUAUCUAUUUGUUAAUAUUAGUGGAGUACAUAUUAUACUUAGAUGGAUACUUUGUGGUCAUUUUUAUUUUUUGAGUAGCUUUAAGAAAUUUCACAAAGAAAUCUCUCAAGUCGAAUAGGAGAAGAUCCAAUCGAAGCAAAGGUUGGGUCUGUUCUGUGAGCAUUUGACUCUUCUCGACCCUGAGGCCGUAGCAAAUAUGAUAUAAGAGAUCCGGAAUCACAUUCGCAGUUUGAAAGAGAGAAAGCAACAAUAUAUUGAGCAAAGUUUCAUCUCAAUUUUUUGACAUGUAAAUUGUUAAUCAUCAUUAUCGAUUUAAAAUCCUCCUAGUUUAAUUUACAGCCAAUGUUUUGCAAAUUGUUUCUACUUUAAGUUGAUUUUAAUAUUUUACAUGCAACAAAAUAAAAUGCUCAAAAAAUAGAAAAAAAUAUAUUACUAUAUUAUUUGAUCAUUGUCAUUUGUAUGAAUGACAUGAUGCUGACACAAUCCUUUUGUCAUCAUUAGUCAAACCAGUAGUCAAACUAUUAGUCAAAUGUUUUCUUUCAAGACUCCAAAACUAGAAAAGAAUGAAUUAAUUACUAGUGUUUGGUGGUAUCUAUAGAUUAGAUGUAAUUGAUUGAAAUUCUCAUAAUAUCUACUCAUAAAAUUGCAAAAUAUAUCUCCUUUAUAAAAGGAGGAAUGAUUAUAUAAGAAGUCAAACUCUAGCAAAGUUGAAUACUAGUUUCUUAUACGCUAUGGAUUAUUCACAAAUCAAGACUAUUUUCUUGCUAUUCAUUUUCUUCUUUUGCUUUCCACAAGCAAAAGGGAAUAUCUUCAAAGGGAAGAAAUAUACAGUUGCUAUACAUAAUUUCCUCCCAAAUGAUAACCCACCGUUAUAUUUUCAUUGUGCAUCUGGAGACGACGAUUUAGGAUACCAUUCACUUGCUGCGCUUGGUCAAUUCUCUUGGUCAUUUCGUCCUAAUAUGUGGCUUUGGGCUAGAACUAUAUUCUUUUGUCAUUUUUGGUGGGGUUCUAAGGACAAAGCUUUUGUGGUAUAUAAUGAUUUUGAUUUUUGUGUUCAUAGUGCAAAUGUUCCAAGGNCAACUUUCCAAAAACAACUUAUUGUCAAUGGACUGUGGAAACGGAUGGUAUUUAUUUGAGUAACGGUCAAGGUGUUGGUUACAGAUAUGUUGAUUGGUGAGAGAUAAUAGUUUAUCUCAUAAUAUGUAACUUUUCUUUCAUUUGACCAAGAAAUAUAUAUAUAUAUGUAAUAGUUAACCUUAACGAGAAGCUUUUAUUAAAAUUAGAAUGUUGCAUGUGUGACUUUAUACUUGUUGAUGGUGUCAAUAUUCCAAUACUUGACAAGUUAUUACAAAAGUAAUUAAGCGUAUAGUAAUUUGAAUCAGUCGAAACAAUAGUCUUUUGAAAUCAGGAUUUUUUUGUUCUUCCAACAAAUUACAGACUCCAACAACUGCUAAAGUCGAUAUGAUAAUUUUUACCGAAAGUGUCAAGCUGAUCAACAACAACAACAACUAUAGCUCAAUGUUAUUGCAAGUUAAAGUCGAAUAUAUGAAGCUUCAUAUAUUGUCCAUGUCCCUCCAUUUAAACGUAAAAGUAUGCCAAUCAUUCUGGAAAAAAAAUAGUUAUUGUUUGCAUUAACUUGCAUAUAAGAAAUGAGAAAUGAAACAACAUACAUCUCUUGGUAUUUCUUCUGGACCUGAGGUAACCAAAGGUUUACUAGUAGAGACGGAGCCAGAAUUAUGAGUUCGGGAUUCUAGUCCGUUUAAGUUACUGAGUUCUUAAUUAAUUUAAUUUAUACAUAUUUAAUGAAUAUAUUAAGACAAAUAUAGGGUUUGGGCACAAGCUAUUGGGUUCGGUCGAACCCGCAAGACCUAUGCUAGAUCAGCAACUAGAACCUCCCUGCAAGCUAAGACAAUAUCCAUACUACAAACUAGCCUAUAAUACAAACUGCUGUAAUAAAUUAUUACUACUCUUUUUUUUAAAAGUAAAUUGAAUUAACUUGGAAAUUUUUUUCCCAUCAAAUUAAAGUAGAAACUAUGAUAACAACAAGAACAGCAGUCAAAUGUACAGAGUGUGCACUUUAUUCCUUAUAUUUCAUCUCAGACAUCUUGAGACCUCAGAGCAUUUGAGUUCUUUAAUUCCUUGUUGUUAAUAAGACCUUUGUUGAAGUCCGGUUCAAAAGUUUCCGCUUAUUCUUUUUGGAUGUAUAAGGAGGUGAUGGGGCACUUGCGGUAGAAGACAUUACUAUACGUUAGAUCCCUCGAGCUCAACUGGGGCAGGGGCGGAUGUAGCAUUCUGAUACCAGUGUUUACUCAAUAGUUUUUUGGUGCAAAACAUAAAUUUAUGCGUAAAAAUACACUAAAAUUACAACAAAUAAUAUAUAUGUGCAUUCAAUGUUAAAAAACUUAAAAAUUGAUCCCAUAAAGUUUAAAUCUUGAAUCAGUUGUUGUCUGUGGUGGUGCUAGUGACUAAGCACAAUACUCAAAGGGAUCAGCAGCUCCUAUAUCUAAAUAAUGAGAUUCAGCAUGUUAGACAGAACCACAUCAACAUCAAUGCAAGAUUCAACAAUGUUAGCUUUAAAUAAGUGUGCACAUGUUCGUUAAUACUGGUAGAAAUCCACCGACAUGAUUCUAACGUCGAUUAACAAGGAUAUAUGAGACUUUGGAAUCAUUGAUGUUGAUAUUGCAACUAUAUCGAUAAGUGAGGCUUGCUCAGUUGGUAAAAGUAACUUCACUCACGACCGUUAGGUCCUGGGGUCGAGUAACGCUGGAGGGGAAGUGUGAAAAUACUAUAUAUCCUCGUAAUUUGGGAUGGUUUAAAAAGAAAAAAAAACUAUAUCCAGCUAUUGAAAGCAUUGUAUUCUUGUAAAAAAUUGGACAAAAGCACAUAUGCAAUUUAGCAAUAUUCCUGUAUCACUGAGCUUUGUGUAAAACUGGAAACAGACUUGACAAAUCUGACCUCUUUAAUAUUGUGUUACAAGACCAAGAUUUCACCUUUACCAAGAAAAAUUAAAAAUGUAAGAAUGAGAUUAUGAAAUGCGGCCGCAUAACUGGCCGCGAAAUAGCCUUUAAGAUCGAGCUUCUCAUGUUCCACUCUGCGGAGGAUCUGCCGUCCGUGGAGCAAUUUUUCGGUCGUAUAAUGAACCACAGAAACGUCAUGUUCUGCAAAAAUUUUUCACCAACUCCGCAACGUAUUGCACAACUCAAAAAUUAAGCUCGCCGGGAAAUUAUCUACAACCUUUCAACACGUUAGCCUAACUCGGUACCAUAAAACCUCAAAUUGGGGCCUUACAUCUCUCAAAUGACAAAUCAUUCCCUUGAUAUUUCUCUAUUUUCUCGAUCCAUAAAAGUAUUAUUAUGACUAAAAAGGUCCAUACACAACUUUAAAAGGCACUAAAGCAUAAACUCAAGGACCAAGAAAGCACAAAGGAAAAAAGAAAACAAAAAAGGAACAAUCUUGCAUCUUAAGGGCAAAACAUUUUAUCACUUCUAAAACACUAUGAUCUACCAAAUAUCAAAUAUGCAAAUUAAAAGGAUCAUAUACCAAUUUCUCUCUAUGGUAGCUAAGAAAAUCUAAUGAAAACACUAACAAUACAUAAGUUUAAAAAUUCUAAUAAAUACAACAACCAAACUAUAACAACUUAGUGACUUACACAAAAUGGAAUCAGUGAAAAGGAUUUUCAAAAUUAUAAUGUUGCCACUUGAUUCAACUGUUUGCUGACCACUAAUCAGUUAGCCCUCCAUUUUGAGUUGACGAAUUAAAAAUAUGUUUUCAUGAUGUUAACAUGUCAUCGUUUUAGUUGGUAACACUUCCUCUGAUAAAAUAAUAAAGUAACAUGUCUUAUUUUUAAAUGUACAAAUCUCAAAUUUUAAGUAGGUAUAUCUAUGAUGCGCUUUGGAGGCUUUAUUUUAAGCUAACUAUAUGAUUUGUUUCGACAUCUUAAAUGAGGGAACUAUACAAAAUACCUACUUGGGCCUAUUAUAUUACCCGUUUCUAUCCAUCUUUAAAAUAAUUACAUAAAAUACCUAUACGACCAAAAUAAAUUACCCGCCCACCCAAACUCCACUUAAGCCGCGAGAUCCAAUAGUUGAGAUUCUUCUGUUUUGGCAAUCAAGCACGAGAUAUGAAUUUAGCAAACUUCUUUUUCUCUAUGGCAUAUUAUAUCCACCUACAGGUCGUACGACAAUUGAUCUCUAUUUUAGCAUUGAUGAGUUUUUCUUGAACAUAAAUAAUAUUCAAUUAACAUACAAAUCUCUCAAAUAGGAUUUUUUUCUUUUAUUGUCUUCUCAAAUAUAAAUAAACAUUUUUCUUCUAUCUUUCUCAUUUCAUAAUAGGAUUUAUGUGUCCAUUGAAUAUUUUUUAUUAAUUUAUUCUCCAUUUCAAAAUGGUAUAUAGUAUAUUAUUAUAACAUAUCUAAAUUUUAGUAUAAUCGAUGACGUACAAAAUUGAGUUAAUUAGAUUAUGUGACAACUAAUAUUAAUUCAGUUUAAUAAUUGAAUUAAAAAAAAAAUUAAACUCUUUGCGUAUAACUGUAUACCCUGUUGGUAUAUCUUUUUUUUUUUUACCCUUCCCAAAUUAAGAAGAUCUAUAGUGUUUCCACACUUCCCCUCCAGCGUGACUCGAACCCUGGACCUAACGGCCGUAGAUGGAGGUAUCAUAUACUAUACUGGUAUCAUAUGUUAGUUGGAACCUUUUUUGGUUGUAUUAGCUACAUUUAAUUGGUACACUGUUUGAUUUUUCUUUAGUAAUAGUAAAAUAGUACAAUAUCUUGAUUUUUUUAAUUUUCCUUUAUGCAUGUGUAUUAUGUAAUCAUUUUGAUUUUUUCUUUAUGCGUUUGUUUUAUAUAAUAGUAUUAUAGUACAAUAUCUUAAAAUAUAUUAUUAUAUUAAUAUGUGGUACACUAUUUUUUUAUUUCUCUUUAUGCAUGUGUAUUAUGUAAUAGCAGUAUAGUCAUAUAUAGUUGCCUGGAAUUAAUUGGUAGAACUGUAUACCCUAUUUGUAUAAUUAUAUGUCAUAGUGGUAUCAUAUGGUAGUUGAAAUAUUUUUUUAUUGUUUUGGCUGCAUUUUUAAGUGAAUUCUAUUCUGAAAUGGUUUAUAUGAUCAUGUUUUGUUGUGUUGGAUUUUCUUGUACGUAUGGACAUAGAUUUUGUGUAUUAUGUAAUAGUUUUUAUAGUUAUAUGCAGUUGUUGGAACGACCCCUUACAACUAUAUACCUUAUUAGUAUAGCUAUAUACUAUAUUGGUAGCAUAUGAUAGUUGAAUCCCUUUUUUUGGUUGUAUUAGCUGCAUUUAAUUAGUACACUAUUUGAUUUUCUUUUAAUAAUAGUAAUAUAGUACAAUAUCUUAAAAUACUUUAUUAUAUUAAUAUGUGGUACACUAUUUUUUAUUUUUCUCUAUAUGCAUGUGUGUUAUGUAAUAGUAGUAUAGUCAUAUAGUUGCCGAGAAUUAACAAGUAAAAUUGUAUACCAUGUUGGUAUAGUUAUAUGCCAUAUUGGUAUCAUAUGGUAGUUUGAACAUUUUUUUGUUGUUUUAACUGCAUUUUCAAGUGAAUUCUAUUCUGAAAUUAUUUAUAUGAACAUGAUUUGCAGUGCUGGAAUUUUUUUGUGCCGAUGGACAUAGAUUAUGUGUAUUAUGUAAUAAUUUUUAUAGGUAUAGGCAACUGUUAGAACGACCACAUACUACUAUAUACCAUGUUAGUAUACGGAAUGAGCAAGUUGCUUUGCGAAUAUUUAGGUUGCAAUGUGAGAAUGUAAUUUUCUCAUACUUUUAUUGCAUCAUUUAAUAUUUUGGUACAAUAGUAUAGUCGGAGAUAGUUGUAGCAAUAUUCUAGAGCAAUCAUAUACUCUGUUGGUAUAUAUGUAUACCAUAUUGGUAUCAUAUGGUACUAGAAAUCUUUUUUGCUACUUAUAUUUUUAUUGUAUUUUUCAAUAUUUUAUUAUCAUUUCUAAUCUAACUAGUAUAUAUGGAGAUUUGGCGGCCGUAGAUUAUAUUUUCUUGCUCCAUAAUUGGUUGUGUUACUGCUAAUGGUAGAGUGAGUAUUGAUCUUUAUCGGGAAGGAGAUCAAGGUUUGCAUGGCAAUUACGUGGAAUUAGAAAAGGAACAAAAAAUAAAGAAAAAAAAUAAAGAAAGAGUCAAAUUUGAGUGUAAAAUAAGUUGUGGUAAAAACAACAAUAAUACGCUCUGGACAAAAAUAAAUGAAUAAAAGAGAAAAAAGAAAAAAAGAGAGAAGAAAACGAGAAAAAAAGAGGAGAAAAGAAAGAAAAAAGGAAAAAAGAAAAGAAGCAUAGAAAUAAAAAAGAAUUGGAGAAAAAAGAAAAAAUUUCCCACAAAAACUAUUAUGGGUAUGAAAUGUAAUUAGUUUGAUGGGUAGAAAAAUAAAUGGGUAAAUAAGGAUAAAUAGUUUUAUUUUUAUGGGUAAAUAUAUCAUCCACCCCUCUUAAAUUACCAUAAGAAAUUUGAAAAGCCUCGAAAUAUAAAGGGAUAAUACAUAAUUACCAUCAUGAAAUUGUUUCAUUUUAUUAGUUGUACCCUUAUAUUUUACGGGUUGUCGUCAAAUCAGUGUUAUUGUCCCCUUUCUUGACCAACACCAGUUUCAACAAAGAAAGUGAUUUACACGCACCAAUUCUUGCCUGACACAUAUCAAAAUACAAAAAAAAAAAUAUAUUAAAAAGGAAAAAGACCUACUUUUUCAUACCCACCCUCCCAAAAAAACGUUCAGAUCCCUUGUUCUUAUCCCCAGCCCAUAAUCCCAUAACCAUCUCCGUUUCUUAAAAAUAAUCAUGCACCCUUUGAAUGAGAAAAGAAUAUCAACGUUCAAUUAGACAAAUAAAGAAAAUAUUUGAACUCAUUCAACAACAUAUCCUGAUGGAAAAGAAACUUCCCAUAAUUAUAUUCUCCAAUUAGAAUAAGGGAUUCAAUUAAUCAAGGAGAAAAAGAAAUUUCGUCCAUGGUCGAUUUCAAUGAUGAUAACAUAAGGAUUUCUAUUAAUUGCAUUUGAGUUGGCAUUUCAGUUCUUCUUCAUUGCUGCUUGUAAAAUUUAUUAAGUACUUUAUCUGGCUAAAAUAUAAAAUAUGAUAGUCUUGAAAAGUGAGUAUGGUCCAUAAAUUCAACUGGGUUAUUUGAUUUUGACCCAUUGAGGGAGAAGAAAGAAGGAGAAGAUUGCAUUUUUUUUUUCCUUUUUGAAGCUUUGCUUCAAAGUAAAGGUGUCAAAGGAGUGGUCCGAUUCGGUCUGAGUUGACUAAAAAAGUGACCGACAGGUCACCGAUCCGGGCCGGUUACCAGUUUUUUCAAAUCGGGUUUAACAGGUCCGGGCCCAUCCGGUGAAAUAUUGAACUAGCAUGGUUACAGGCCUAAGGGGCAGGGCCGGACCAUUUUUUUUUUUUUGUAUUUUGUAUAACUAUCGUAAUUUAUAUUAAUAUAAAAUAAAAAUAUAAAACAAAAAAAUAAUCUUAUAAAAAAGUGUUUGAAUAAAGGAUGUAAAGGCUUUAAAAUCCUUAUAUUUGAAUAUUUCAUUAAGAAUUUAAGAUAAUAGAAUACAAUGAAGAUGGAAAAACUUAUAAUUUUCAAGUUUUUUUUUUAUUUCAAACUUGUAAAUUAAAGUUUACAUUUAAUAAUAACUAAAUUAACGAAAAAAGUAAAUUCAAAGUUAAUUAUUAAAUAUAAGAUUAUAAAUUUAGAACUCCAAAGGUUUUGCAUUGCCUUAGUAAGUUCUUCAUAAUCAAUAUGAACUUCUUGGCCAUCUUCUCGAGUAUUAAAUUCAAAGGCUUUCAUAGUUUUAUUUCAAAUUUUCAUUGCAUAAUAAUACUUCAAAUUAAUCUAACAAACUAAAACAAUAAGCAUAAAUACGUCUAAUAAUUUUAAAAUAACACAAAUUGUCUCAAAUCAACUUAAAAUCUUAAAUAUGAAUUUCUUGAGGACGCUCAACACAACUCUUCAUAUGCCUCCUUAAACAGCUUGUGCCAUCCCACUUUCGACGAAGAUUUAAGACUCGACCACAGUUCUUGCACUUUACUUUGUGAACUUCUUAAUUUUUUUUAUCACCUCAAAGUCCAUGAUCGGAUUUGACCGGUCCGAUUAACUGGUAAUGAAAAUGUAAACGUUCCAACCCCCUAACCCCCCAAACCCAACCCUACCCGGCCCCCUACCACCGAUCUGGGUCAAUACCGGUCUGGGCCGGUCCGAAAACAGGUCAAACCGGCCCGUUAAACACCCAUACUUCAAAGCCAUCAGUAGCUCGGGUUUUUUUGGGGUUGAAGCUUCGGUGAACUUUCUUUUGUGUGAAUUUUGGUGGGGGGGGGGGGUGGUAAUGGGAUAUAGAGGUGGUGAAGUGGUGGAGGGAGGUGGGAUCAUGUUAAUGAAGAAGAAUGUUGAAGAGAAAAAAAAAAGGGAAAAAUAAUUAAAUAAUAAUAAUAUAAAAUAAAAGAAAAGUAACUUUAAUAACAAAAUCUUACAAAAAAUCAAUUUUAUAUUUUCUUUUUGAUUCUCACUCUCUUUAAGAAAGUAAUAAAAAGAGUGAUAUACAAUUUAUAUGCCACGUGGGCUUGGAAAGGGGUAAUAAUAUCGAUUCGAAUUAUUGAGGAGGGUCAUACGACUCCCGUAAAGUAUAAGGGUGCAACGGGUAAAAUAAAAUAACUCUAGGGGUAAUUAUAUAUUAUCCCAAACAUAAAUACACUAUGGUAAAACAAGGAAGGCAUAGAUUCUUUGGUAGGGGUGUUCAUGAUUAGGUAUGGCUCUGUUUGGGUAUGUUUUUUCCUAAAAAGAAACCAAACCAAGUAAGUUGGUUCUUCAAAUAUUGGAACCAAACCAAACCAAUUAAGUCCAUUUUUUAUCGAUUCGAUUUUUGUCGGCUUUUGUCGAUUUUUCGGUUUUUUAUCAAAUUUUUUUCUUAAAUAUGAGACAUAUACCACCAAAUGCAUAUUUUGGCAACUACAUUUUCAACGUAACACUAUCAAACUAAUUGUUGUUUGAGAAAUCUAUAAUUUACCAAGAUAUAUGAAAUAGUGAUGAAUAAUUUAAUACUCAAUAAAAAAUCGAUUAUUUUUAACGUGAAAUAAAUUAUUGUACUUAGCAAAAGAAAACUAUCAAUCAAACUAGAAUGUAAAGACAAAGAAUUAGAUUAUUAUAAUAGCAAAUAACUAGACUUCAAAUACAAACGACUAAUAUGUACCAUAAAAUUUAGAAACUUUAUAUAUAUACAUAUAUNAAUUUAAGAAUUUAAUUAUUCUUCCAGAAAUUUAGAUAAACCCAAAGGAACUAAUAUGUUGUUUUACUUUUUUUACGUAAAAACAACGUUGAUUGUGCUCUAUAACUAAAAAAAAUACUUUUUUUUUGUUGAAAAAGAAAGUACUAUUUCUACAACAUGAAAAUAUUCUUUUUGUUGCAAUAAAAGAAACUACAUUUUACUAAGUACGUCAUUUUGUUGAAAUGAAAAAAAAUAUUUUUUCUACAUCAUGAAAAGAAAGCAUUUUUUUGUUAAAAUGAAAAAAAAUACUUUUUUUUAUCGUGAAAUGAAAAUGCUCAAUUGUUGAAAUGAAAAAAUAAUAAUUUAUCUAUAACAUGAAAAGAAAGUACUAUUAGGGUGGGAUGAGGGUGGAUAGGGGUGAGGGUGGGUUGGGGUUGGAGUGGGGUGGGGUGUGGGGUGGUUGGUGGGGAUGAGGAAUGAGGGGAAAAUUGGAAAAGAGUUUUGAAAAAUAUUUUUCAAACAUAUUUUACUUCCUACCAAACACACCAUAUCUAUGGUCAUUUUCAUUCCUACCAACAAUCUCAACCUAUAGUGUAGAAGUCUUACCUCAAAUUUGUCAGUUUUAUAUUAUUGGUUGAGGAAAAGAAAAUGUUAAAUUUAAGUUUAGAAGUUGUUGUACAUAAUUUACAUAGACAUUAGCACGUUUGCGGCUCUUUACAAAACACUUUACUAACCCAAAAGUUCAACUUAUUCCUAGACUUUAAGAAAAUUCCAUUUCUUUGACACGAUUCCUAUUUCUUAUCUUAGUAAGGUUUCAAUAUCAAGUGGUUGUUGCCAUUAGAUAGAAAAAUGAGAUGGAAAAAUUACACUUGACACAACUUAAGUGUCUUCUACUUUUUAAAUUAUUCUGGUUUUGGAACCUAUUUACUCAAUUAAUCUGAUGAAUUUGUACGGCAGAAAACGUAUUAUAUUGACUAAUUUGAAUUCGUGUUGUAUAAAAUUUAUUUGAUGGGAUUUUAGUGCCUCUUUCCAAAAUGAAUUGAUCAAUUUUUGGUACUCAAAUCCGAGGCUUCUAAUAAGUGUCAGAUUCACAUGGGCACAUGUGGGUGCUUGACAAUAUUUGGUAAACUAGUGAAUUACCCGAAAAAGAUAUUAGGGUAAACAAAAUUACAUUCAUAGUAACAAUAUUCUUAAAAAUGAGAAAACAACACGAAGAUUUCUACUAAUAAUAAAAAAAAGAUUUCAAAGGAACUAACCUAGCUUAAAAAAGAUCUCUCUGAGUAACUUGUCACCUUUCUAUCAUAUUACUGUGAAUAUAUAAUGAGAAAACAACAUGAAAAUUUCUACUAAUAAUAAAAAAAAAAAAGAAACAGGGAGAUCUCUAAAGUUUUGCAUGAUAUAAGUCGUUCAUUUGAGUAUACUCACAGUUUUUGCUCAUUACUGCUUGCAAUUAAUCUCAUUCAUCUUUCUGUUCGAUCACCACAUAUUGGACCUCUGCAUUAUUUGACAAAUAUGUUGUCUUUCAAGUGAUUGAAUCUUAUUAAAUACAACAAUCCCACCGCCGUACUCUUCUCCAUUUUCUUGUUGCUGGCAUUGAAGUAGCUUUUCAAACUUUAUUAGAAGUAAAACGGAAAAAAACUUCUUCAUGAGAAAUAAUAAAAAAGGAUAGAAUAUAUAGAUUUUGUUAUAGAAGAAAUAAUUAAAAAGUAGAGCAGAUGAUUGAAAAGGAACUUGGGAAAGAGAAUGUAAAAGUAGAAGAAUGAAGAAUCGUUUUGUUUCAGUAAAAACGGACCAGAAACGAUCAAAAGUGAGGGAAAAGAAGUAUAAAUGGCGGCCAAUUAAGAGACGUGACUAUUGAGUUUUUUUAUUUAUUUAGGGCACAUUACAUAAAUAGGGGAAUUAGCCAAAAGAUAUAUAAAUCCAAAUCCUAAACUGUAAAAGGUGCCAUGUAGAUAUACAGAUUAUUAAGGGAUUCGCUUCAAUUAAAUUGUCCAUAUCGAGAUUGUGUCUGUUAUCACUUCAUGGUUUCAAACAUUCAAUUUUGGAUUUUCAGUGACAUUUCAAAACAAAACCAUAAUGAUGCAUGAAUCAUUUUCAUUUUAUACAAGUGUUCAAACAUUUUGGGGGUAAAAGAAAAAGAAAACUUAUGCAGCAUUAGUAGAUGUACAAAUCACGUGUGUGAGGCCAAAAGCUCACCAUGUUUCAAUGUUGAUCCUUCAGUAUUCCUACAAAAUAAUAACAAUAAAAUUUCUCAAAGAAUACCGAAACAAAAUGGAAAAAGGGAUACACUAUACGCGCACUACCAUCAACAAAAAUAAAGCACAACACUUCUACCAAAUGUUUUAUACAUAAAGAAUAUGUUUCCGAUGUGAAUACAACCUGAACUAAUAGAGAUUACUCCAGGUAAAGAAAAAUACGAAAAAAAAAAGAAAUCAUAGAAGGUAAGAGUGUUCCCCUAUGGACCUUGAAAGUAAUAUUUUUUUUCCGAGAACUAUAUCACCAACAUAGCAAAUUUCACAUGCCUCGCAUUUCUUCACAUGAUGCAGACCCACCUGUUAAUAGACCGGAAUUUGAGAAAUAUCUCAUUGAAGCAUACAACUAAAAGUUUAUUCCCCAAAUUCAAAACCUUCACAUUCCAUCAAAUGCACACUAAAAAUGAAAAAAGAGAAAACAAAAAAGAAAGUAGGAUGGGCAUGCAGGAAAGUAGCUGUUGGCAUUAUUAUAUUAAUUAAAGUUACCAUAAAAAAAAAAACUAAUCUAUAGAUAUACAUAACGAAACGGAAAAGACACGUCUAUUAAUUUAAAGAUUUGGAUGUUACUAACUAUAUGCGAACGCCGUUAAAUAGGGGUAGUGAAAAAUAAAACGAACUAAAGGAGAAAAGGGCAAAAUAAUGAGGAAACAGAUAGAUACAAAUCCUGGUCAAUAAGCCUUGCCACGUCACAGGACAUUGCCCCUCAAUUAUAUAAAUAUAUAGAUUUGCAUAGACAAUUAUAAAAAUAUUUUGAUAAAUAUUGAGUGAGCACCCACAAGUACAUUCAUUUUUUCUCUUUUUUUGAAUUUUUUUCCGGCGAGCACCCAUAACUUUAAAAUUUUAAAUCCGUCGGUGCUUCUAAUGGCUUGCUUACAACAUUUAUUAUGGUGAGUAGAUUGUUAAGUUAAUUCCUGUUUAAAAAUUAGAUGUUUAUAUUUUAUCUUAUAUCUAGUGUUACUCUUACUUAUCUCCUGCUACUUAGCUCGACAAGCAGACCACGUCGACCCUUUAUUUGUCAAUUAUUGUGUGCUUACCAACCAAAAACAAGAGGAAUCAACUGAUUUUAUAUGCUUGUGUGUCUAAUGCACUAGUUGAGCACGAGUAGUGGACAAAUCUUUUACUUUUUUUUUUAAGUGACUUCUUCUACAAAAUUAAUAUAAUAUGAACAAGGAGAUAAAUAGGUUGUAUUUUAUUUACGCCCAUGUUGGAUUAGAACAAAAGUUCAAAAUUACUUUGAAUAACUGAAAAGAAUCAUAUUUUCUUUUAUAAAAACAGACUUCCUUUUUGUUGGAAACCAAACUAAAAAUUUUCAAAAAUAAAAAAUGAUUUUUAUUUAGGUUCUUAUAAAAUUGACGACACAAACAAACUUUUCCCGAGAUUAUUCUUCAAAAAUAUGCCCAAAUAAUAAUUAAAAUCCUAAAUCCAAAUGCCACCUCCAUUUCACCAAAAUGAUAUUAAAGCUAUGAAUUGAUUUUGAUAAUUUUUAUGUCACGAGACAAGUUCCUUAAAAUAAUUUGUAUUUUUACAUUUUAAAAAAGUAAUAAUAAUUAAUUAAUCGCUCAAUCCACAAUACCUUUCAAAUAGAAACACGUCUCAUCAUGUCGUCACAAUAUCGUUGUUAGAGUUGGUAAGAUUUGAAAGGGUUUGCCUUUGGGAUUUGUUGAAGUCAAUUUGGUCUCCUAGCAGUUCGUACACCAACUCCCCUCCUAACUUUGACAUUAACUUUCCCUAUUUCAACAUCCUUCAAAUAUCUCGCAAACGGUAGUUUGGUUGGUAUACAAGUUAUCUUAUUAUUAAUAAUUUCGUGAUUAGCUGUUCUAUUUUUUCAUAGGGAUAAAAUGCAAUACCGGAAUAAUUAAUGCCGAAAUUAGUUAUACCACGAUUUUAUACCAACCAAUCAUAGGAUAAACUAAUCUUAAAUUUAAUUCCGGAAUUAGUUAUCUCUUAUACCAAACGAGCCCUACGAGAUUCAUCUAUUUUUAUUUAGAAGUUUCGGAUUCAAACUCAAUGGAUGAAGACCCUAUGAUAGGGAAAACUUCUAGCUUUAACGAGUGCUACAUAGUGAAAAUUUGAAUCAGUCGCGAGGGCGGAUCCACUUCCCGACAUACGGGUUCACAUGAACCCAUUAGAUUUUGUCCAAACAGUGUAAAUGUGUUCGAAAAAUUUAUCAAAAUAUCUAAAAAUUUGAAUGUGAAUCCAAUUUUUACUUGAUAUCAUUGCAGAAACUCAUAAAUAUUAAAUUUUAGAUCCGCCUCUAAUUAGUCGGACUAAUAAAUUUCGUACAUAGGUUAAACCAAAAAAUCAACCAUUUAAUGUUUACUUUACUUAUUCUUGGUUUAACAUGGUUAGUGGCUUGGUCCCCCUAUGAGUAGGAAUUUAGGUGUAUGAAACUGUCGUUUUCCCCUUUUGUUAGCGUUGAUCAGUUUAUGUCAAAUUAGGGUCGUUCAAAAUCGAACUGUAACCGUAUCGAACCAAAAAAUUAGCUUAUCGGCUUAUUGGUAUCGGGUUAUUGGGUAAUGGUUGGUGAACAUAUUGAGAUUUUUUAAUUAACGGCUUAACGGUUUGGGGGCAGAUUACUCAAUUUCCUUAUCGGAUAAACAGUUAACCCGUUAAGAAUUUUUAUAUUUAUACUUUUACCCCUAUAUAUAUAAAGUACUAUUUGUAACCAUAAAUCCCUAAUUUCUGAAUUCAAUCAAUACUAUCAUCUAUUAAUUUCAAUAUGCUUGAUACAAGCAUAUUGUACGAUUGAUAAGAUAUAUGCAUUCUUGUUAUGUUUUGAUGAUCUAACAAACUUACUGAUAAGAAUCAGAUAAGGAACAUGAUACAGAUCCUUAAGUACGUGAGAAUAACAAGUCUCAAGCUGGGGACACGAAUUAUCUCUUAAGAGUCAAAGAAACAACAAGGGGAACAGAUGGACAUCAGUUCCCUUGGUGACCGUACCAGUCAACCUCCCAACAGCUAUAAAGUUGCUGCCCGCACACGCAACAGUGCAGUAGUCAACGUCAUUGGGAAUGCCCUUGUACCAAACAUGCUUGCAUCAUUCAAGUGAUGUCACAUAUGUAAUAUUAAUAUUAAGCCAAAGGCAAAACAUCACUAGAAGAAAAAAGAAUCGAUCCAACAUUCUCUCAAGUCUGUGCAUCAAACCAACGAGCGAUUCUCAAGGGCGUCAAGAACAAAGAACAAUAUAACAAAUGACCAGUUUCCUGUAUUGAGUCAUUACAUGUCCUUAGUUGUGUUGCAUAUUUGUUAAAGUACUUACUUGUGAUUCCUAUUUAGCUUAGUUAGAAGCAUUGUGUAGGAAACUUUUAUAAAAUCUUAAACCUUGUGUUUGUAUCUUGGCUAGAGUUAGUCGAGUUGUAAGCUUUGUAAUAGAGUUAUUACAAAGGGGCUUGUAAUAGAGUUGUUACAAGUUAGUAAGGGAUUAAGAGGUUAAUUCCUAACAAUAGGUUAUAAUCUGAAAUUUGCUUAGUAGUAAAGUUGAAAUCCUACAAGGGUAGGUCGUGAUUUUUAAUCCCGUGAGCUGGUAGUUUUCCACGUAAAAUUCCAUUGUGUCAUUUACUUACUGCAAUGUGCAUGUGUUUCAGUAGAAACUAAUAUAGAACAUGGUUCUCUAUAUAGUUUGGUGGACCCUUAGUUUCUACCAAUUGGCAUCAGAGCAGGUUCUUUCUAUGAGGCUAACACCUAGAAAGGAUCCUCAUGGCUGCUCCACCAAAUUUUGAAGAAGGUCAAUCUACCACCAAGAUUCAACGACCAAUACUAUUGAUGGUAGAAGACAAUGAUGCAUGAUUUUAUUAUGGCUGAAGAUUCAGAGCUCUGGGAUGUUAUUUGCGAUGGACCCUUCGUCCCUAUGAAGACAAGUGGUGACCCAACAGUAACAGUUUCCAAAACAAGAAAGGAAUUCAACGAUGAUGAUCGAAAGGCCAUAGAGAAGAACUUUCGAGCAAAAAUAAUUCCCGUAUGUUGUAUUGGACCAGACGAAUACAAUAAGAUUUCAGCAUGUCAAUUAGCCAAUGAGAUCUGGGAAGCUCUCUAAACAGUUCAUGAAGGGACAACUCAAGUCAAGCAGUCGAAGAUUGAUAUGCUAACCACAAAGUAUGAGCUCUUCAGGAUGAAGGAUGAUGAGUCCAUUCAAGAUAUGCACACUCGCUUCACCUUUAUCAUCAAUGAGCUCCAUUUUCUGGGAGAAAUCAUUUCAAGGAACAAACUUGUUAGGAAAAUACUCAACGCAUUACCCAGUUCUUGGGAAAGCAAAGUAAAUGCUAUCACGGAGGCAAAUGAUCUACAGAAGCUGACCAUUGAUGAACUCGUUAGGAAUAUGAAAACUUAUAAAAUGAAGAAAAAGAAGGACAAUGAGAGAAGAGAUCCCAAAAGGGAGAAGAACCUGGUCCUCAAGACAAACAACAAUGAAUCAAGUGGUGAGGAUGCUGACAUGGCCUACUUGACAAAGAGGUUUCAGAAAAUGGCUUGCAAAAAUGGAGGUAUUCCAAAACGGGGCAGCUCCAGCAAGCAAAGAGGCUAUGACCUAUGUCAUAAGUGUGGGGAGUCAGGACAUUUUAUCAAAGAUUACCCUUUCCUCAAGCAAGAUCAGUACAAACACAACACAGACAAAGCAACUAAUAGGAACCAGGUUCUUGACAAAUGGUUCUAAAGAAAAUAUGUUGCUGACAAUAUUGUGAAACAAGCUCUUGCUGCAUGGGGAGACUCUUCCAGCAAAUCUGGAGAAGAUGAUGAAAAAGGCGACAACAAAAUGAUGGCAGUAGAAAGUGAAGCAACUGAAAUGACACUGUCUUUGCCCUGAUGGCACAAUCUGACGAUGAGGUAAACUUUCUAGAUGUUCAAAGAAAUCUGAAGUCUUACUCUCCAAAAAAACUUAUGUCUUUGGCAAAUGUUUUAAUUGAUGCUUAUCAUAGUCUUAUAAAUGAUAAAAAUGCAUUAACUGUGGAACUAGGAGAAGUAGAACAUGAUAGAGAUAAUCUAGUAGUUUGUGUGGUCGAUUUAAAAGAAACCAUUGAGAGUUUGAAAAAAGAAAAUGGUGCCCUAGCUGAAAUAAUUGCAAACAUAGAACAUGAGAGAGAUGACCUAACAGUUGUUGUGGUUGAUUUAAAAGAGACCAUUGAGUGUCUUAAAGAAGAGAAAAAAUCCUUAACUAAAAAGGUAGCUAACAUAGAGCAUGGGAGAAAUGACCUAUUAGUGGUAGUUGUAGACCUAAAGGAAACAAUUGAUGAACAAAAAGGAGAAGGUGGUCAUGAGAUUACUCGAAAGGGAAAGGAAGUUGCAAGUGAGAAAUAUCUUAGGAUUGAAGAUGAGUUAAAAUCAGUAAAAUCCAGUCUGUGUGCCGAACUAGAGAAAAACAAGCAACUUUAGGAAGAUCUAGGAAGAGUUAAGAGUGAUCUAGAAAAAUCACUCAAGUGGACUUGGUCCUUUGAUGUUAUCACUGCCAUGUAUAAGAACAAUGGGGGAAACAUGCAAGGAAUAGGGUUCCAAAGGGAAAAUACUCCAUACAUCCCUCAUAGCUAGUACGUUACUGUACCUGAUAACUGGUCUGCACUCACUGUGAUAACACUGGGCACUUUAAGGAAACCUGUAAGGCCAGAUUUCAGUCUCAACAGAAAAAUAAAGUUUUUGCUAAAAAGGUAACUACUGCUAAAGAACCUGGUACCUCAUAUAAAAAAUAUGCGAUGCAUGCUUGGACCAGAAGAGUCCUGAUUCAUCCCUUUCCUCAUUACAAGGGACCCAAACUUGUUUGGGUUCCUAAGUCUAACCCUUGAUUUCCUUGUGCAGAGAGUAGUGAAAGGGAGCAACCAACAAUGGUACAUGGAUAGCGGCUGCUCAAAGCACAUGACUGGAAGCACAAAUAAUUUCCUUUCACUCAAGGCCCUGCAAAGAGGGAGUGUGUCCUUUGGAAACAGCAAAAAAGGAUACAUUUUGAGAGUUGGAAAGAUUGGGAAGUCUCUUUCUCACUCAAUUGAAAAUGUGUACUACGUGAACGGGUUGAAGUACAGCUUGCUAAGUGUCUCCCAAAUCUGUAACAAGGGAAACGGAGUGGAAUUUGUGUCAAAAAUAUGCACGGUCACAAAUCUUGUGGCUGAUGAAGUGGUUUUGGUGGCUAAAAGAUACAAAAACAUCUAUGUUGCUGACUUUGAAUCCCUACAAAAUGGGGAUCGUAGUUAUCUGGGUGUUGUAGAUGAUGAUGCUGAACUAUGGCACAAAAGACUAGGUCAUGCAAGCUUUAUGUUGCUGAAUAAAUUGGUCAAGAAGGACCUGGUUCAUGGCUUGCCCAACUCAAGCUUCAAGAAUCACAAGGUGUGCGAUGCAUGUGUAAAAGAAAAGCAAGUCAGAUCUUCUUUCAAGCCCAAAAAGGAAGUUAGUAUCUCAAGGCCACUUGAUCUCCUCCAUAUGGAUCUAUGUGGACCUAUGAGAGUGCCAAGUAGAGGAGGAAAGAAGUACAUCUUCGUUAUUGUGGAUGACUAUUCCAGAUUAACAUGGACUCUGUUUCUCAGAACCAAGGAUGAAACCUUUGAAGUAUUUGUUGCAUUUGUGAAGAAGAUCCAGGUGAAGAUGAGCCAUAAUGUAGUAAGUAUAAGGUCGGAUCAUGGCAUAGAAUAUGACAAUGCCAAAUUCGAUGAAUUAUGUGCUGAAAAUGGCAUCACUCAUAAUUUUUCAGAUCCAAGAACACCUCAACAAAAUGGUGUCGUGGAGAGGAAGAAUAGGACCCUUGAAGAUAUGGAAAGAACAAUGUUGAUUGACAGUGGCACUGCAAAUUUGUUUUGGGCAGAAGCCAUCAACAUUGCAUGCUACUUGGUGAACAAGUGCAUGAUCAGGUCCCUUUUGAACAAAACCCCAUAUGAACUACUGAACGGGAGGAAGCCCGAGCUGACACAUCUAAGGACAUUUGGGUGCAAAUGUUUUGUACUCAACAAUGGCAAGGAAGCACUAGGAAAGUUCGAUGCCAAAAGUGAUGAAGGGAUCUUUCUGGGCUAUUCAUCACAAAGCAAAGCCUACAAAGUAUACAACAAAUGAACUCAAUGCGUUGAGGAAAGUAUACAUGUGAUCUUUGAUAAAUCUCACCACUCAUGUGGGAAUGAUUCACAUGAUAAGAUUGAUCAAGAUGGAGAACAAUCAACUAUCCCUGGUGAAGUCAUUGACAUGUCAAAUGGAAAAGCUGACAUGAUGAACCAUAUCAAGGAAUCAAAUGAUGAUGGUGCAAUCAUAUCUCCAACUGAUGGGGAGGAACCCGGUUCCUUAAUCACAGCAACUCAAGCUGAAAACAGAGUUGUUGAUAUUGUACAAGGCACCCCACAUGCUGAGGUGAGAAGGAGAACUCACGACAACCAAGGAUCACAUUCAGAAAUACCUAGACCUUCCCACAAUGAGGUUCCGUUGUCUAACUGUAAACACAAAAGUUCACACCCUACUGAAAAUAUGAUCACUCAUCUUGACUCAGGAAUUCAAACCAGUUCAAAGACAAGAAACGCGCUUGCCUUCUCAACUUUUCUCUCUCAAAUUGAGCCCAAAAACAUCAAGGAAGCAUUGGAAGAUGCUGAUUGGAUUACGGCUGUGCAAUAAGAACUCCAUCAAUUUGAAAGGAACAACGUAUGGCACCUGGUUCCACGACCUGCUAACAGAAUUGUUAUAGGAACCAUGUGGGUAUUUGAUAAGUAGGGAUUUUAGCCUAUUAUUUGCUCUCUUUUACUUAGGUUUUGAGCCAAAAAUGCGUAAAGGUAUUUCCGAAAACUAACUUAAUGUGCUUGCUUGCAGGGUUUUGUUCGAAAUGAGCUAAAGAAGCCAUAACCAACUCAUAAAGGAGUCAAACAUGAACAAAAACCAAGUCUGGACCAAUACUGUGGAACGCGGACCGUGAUAGAAAAGGUCGGCCGCGAAAUAAUUAUCGCUGAGGCGGCCAUUAUUCAGCGGACCGCGAAAUAGAGAUUCAGAGAAGCUGUUUUGAGCACUAAAAUUGAGCGUUGAGAGCAGCAGAAAGAUGCGACCGUGAAGUGACUGGCGCGGCCACGGUUGGAAUUUAGCGGACAUCGUUUGUCGAGGUUCAGAGACUUUGCAAAAUGGGCAUAAAUAAAGAAGGCGGUCUGCGUCCAAAUUACGUGGCCGCGAAGGAAUCUCACGCGGACGCGGUGAACAUUACGUGGUCCAUGAAAUGAAGAUCUACCCUGGCCCAGGUAUGAAUAAACGCGGAUCACACUCACUAUUACGCGGCCGCGAAAACCCAAGCGUGGACGCUGAGAGCGGGGAAUUUUUGUCCGAAAUUUUCAGCCUAGUAUAAAUAGAACCUUUUAUCAAUUUUAGGUUAAGUUUUGUUUAGCAGAGCACGUGAAUGGCUGAUUUUUUCCUUUUUGGGCAAUUUUAGAGUAGAUUCACCUUCAAACUUUAGAUUCUUAUCUUGUACUUUAAUAUUAUGGCUUAUAUUUCAUCAUUAUCUUUGAUUUCUGCUGUUAUUAUGAGUAGCUAGACCCCAUAGCUAGGGUUGUGACCCAACCCUAGUGUGGGUAUUUAAUGGGUCUUGAAUUCUAGGGCUUAAUUAUUUAUGGGUUAGUGAUANNNNNNNNNNNNNNNNNNNNNNNNNNNNNNNNNNNNNNNNNNNNNNNNNNNNNNNNNNNNNNNNNNNNNNNNNNNNNNNNNNNNNNNNNNNNNNNNNNNNNNNNNNNNNNNNNNNNNNNNNNNNNNNNNNNNNNNNNNNNNNNNNUUGAUAGCCCCAAUUAAAGGCUUAAACCUAGAGAUAGUAAUAUCCGACUUGAGCCAAUUUUACUUGUAUUGUAUGAACACCCAUUUGGGCUUGAGAAAGCCAAAUCGGGCAAAGUCACUCAAACUACGGAGAGGUAUAGAGUGAGCACUUAUGUGUGAUGGUUAUAUCAUGACCCCAAUCAUAACAAGCUUGUCCUAGAUUUUUGAUACCCAUUAGAUACUCACCUAGGAGGAAGUCACUUCCCUAGUGCCUUUUAACACUUGAAAACUUUCAUCAAAAAUAUUGUACUUAGCUUAUAGCAUACAAUAGUAUAAAAUUAGAAUAGAAUCAAUCGCAACAAUGUUUGGAAGUGCAAUUAGGAACAAUACGCACAUCUAGAUUAGUUAGAUACCCAACUCCAAGCCAAAUUAACUCCCUGUGGAAAUCGAUCCUGACCUCGUUGGGUAAAACUGCAUCGACCAUACUCGCUACUCUAUAGUGGUGUAGGUUUGUCCUCGAUCAGUAUUCAGAAACAAACUUGAUGAGUUUGGAAACAUAACUAGAACCAAGGCAAGGCUAGUAGUUCAAGGCUACAAUCAAGAAGAAGGAUUGACUUUGAUGAAACCUUUGCUCCAGUUGCUCGAAUGGAGGCCAUCAGAAUCCUCAUUGCCUUUGCAUCUCAUAUGGAAUUAAAAUUAUUCCAAAUGGAUGUCAAAAGUGCAUUUCUGAAUGGCUUUCUAAAAGAAAAAGUAUUUGUCAAGCAACCACCUGGAUUUGAGAAUCAUGAGCAUCCUGAGCAUGUUUUUAAAUUUGACAAGGCAUUAUAUGGGCUAAAGCAGGCUCCUCGUGAUUGGUAUGAAAGGUUUUCCAAAUUUCUUCUACAAAAUGGUUUUACAAGAGGAAAAAUUGACAGCACCUUAUUUUUGAAGAAACGAGGGAGGAACCUACUCAUUGUGCAAGUAUUUGUGGAUGACAUUAUGUUCGGAGCAACAAAUGACUCACUGUGUGAGGAAUUUACAAAACUCAUGAGAAGUGAGUUUGAAAUGAGCAUUAUGAGGGAAUUAAAUUUCUUUUUGAGAUUACAAGUCAAGCAAACUCUUAAGGGGACAAUGAUAAGUCAACAAAAGUACAUCAAGGAGCUUCUAAAGCGAUUUGAUAUAAAAGGAUAAAAAAUCAUUGAUACUCCUAUUGCUACCACUACUUGUCUGGACAUGGAUGAACAUGGUUCUCCUGUAAAUGAGACCAUUUAUAGAAUUAUCAUAGGGUCACUCAUGUAUCUCACAACAAGCAGACCAGAUAUUAUUUUCAGUGUGGGACUCUGUGCUAGGUUUCAGUCUAAUCCAAAGGAAUCUCAUCUGAAGGUUGCCAAAAGAAUCCUGAGGUAUCUCAAAGGCACGCAGGACCUGGUUCUCUACUAUCCCUCAGGAAAUAACUUUGAUUUAAUCGGAUAUGCUGAUACUGAUUAUGCUGGUUAUCUAGUGGAUAGAAAAAGCACUUCUGGCAUGGCACAUUUUAUGGGAUCAUGUCUGAUCUCACGGGGUACAAGAAAACAAAACUCAGUGGCUCUUUCAACUACUGAAGCUGAAUAUGUGGCGGCUUCCUCUUGUUGUGCUCAAUUGCUAUGGAUCAAGCAACAACUAGAAGAUUUUGGUAUAUUUUCUGACUGUGUGCCCUUACUAUAUGACAACACAAUUGCUCUCAACAUGGCCAAGAAUCCGGUUCAACAUAAGAGAACAAAGCAUAUUGAUGUGCGACACCGCUUCCAUAUAUAUAAUGUUGAAAAAGGGCUCAUCUGCAUGAAAUUUUGUAGCACAGAAGAUCAAAUUGCAGACAUCAUCACCAAAGCACUGAGCAGAGAACACUUUGAAAGGAACCGCUUGGCACUAGGGUUAAUAAAAUCAAGCUAAGGAACUGGUCCCUUAAUGAUUGGCUAUGAAAGAAAUGUGUAGGUAAAAUUGCUAAAAAGUAUUUUCUGGUAAAGUCUAACUCAUCUCUAUACCGUUGCAAGUAGACACACAUGACGAUUACAGAGAAAACAAGUGGCCAAUGAUAUUGCAUUUCAGUCAAAAGGAUGAAGAUCACAUUUACAAAAUCUGUCAGGGAACCUGGUUCCCUUGACACACGUUAGUAGUUUCUAUGUACUUUCAUCCAUAUCUUUUUAACGGCUAAAAUGGUGCCACGUCAUUAAAAUGUCAAUCUUUCCUUUCUCUCUCUUUUUGGAACUCAAACGUCCUACCCUUUAUGAAAUGACCCAUCUACCCAUAUUGAUACUCGUUCCUAACCGGUCCCUCACCCCUCUUAAAUAACUUCUCUCACAGUCACUAUCAUAAUUGUUCACAUCAAAGCCAAAAAUUCCCUUUUUUGCCUCAAACCAAACACUCUUUUUUUCCCAUCGAAUUCUCACUACCCUCCAUCAUGUCUGAAAAUUUGGAAACUCAGAAUGAUCCAAGCAUCGUCCCCACUGUGUCUUCACCCAUUGAAACCCCAGUGCUAGAGCCUAUAAUCCCUAUACCAUCUAAUCCAAACCCUAAGCUAGAGUCACAACCACAUAAUGGUUCCUCUCCAACUCAGUCGAGUACUAGCUCUCAUCGGAGUCGCAAAACCUCGACUCCCAAGUAAUUUAUGGCAGCGACCUCUCCUUUUGUCUCGUCAAAAAAAAUGGUAGAAGUAGAUAUAGUGGCGGAAAAAGAACAUAAGGGAAUCUCUAGUCAACCAGUGGAAGAAAGUUUUGAGAUGCAAGGAGUGGGUUAUAACAGUGAUGAAUCGCCAAAGACUACCUCAUGCCUUGAUCGGUAUGCUGCCGAUUCUAUAGGUAAUGCUCUUCUUAUGUCUUCUGAGUUUACCUUGGAGUUACAAUAACAAGAGCCUAUAGAAAAUAUAUUGUCAAUAGCUACUGAGGGAAGUCUUAUUGGGGGUUAUGCGAGUGUGUCGGAAGCGAAUUGGUCUCAGAGGAAAAAGAAAUGGUACACAGAUAGAGAGUAGGGAACCGGUGCAUGUCGAAACUUUGGCACCUGACAAUACUACUGGGGAACCAACUGAGGGACCUCAUCCCUCCACCCAAGAGGGGCCCUAUGCUUCUACUUGGGAUAAAACCCCUGGUUCUCCACAAGAACCACAAGUCAAUAUUGAUCUCUCCCCUUCUCCUCAUUUCUAUAUUGAGCCAUUAUGCAUUGUUGUCCCUGAACUGAGAUCUUUAUUUGAGGAGGAGCAUGAGGAUAGUGAAAAUGACUAUGAAUAUGUGGCUCUUGCGAGCUUCAUCAAGGCUAGGAGUAGACAAGCUCCUCAACAUGAGUCAACUCCUAAGAGACCUACCACUAGGUUGCAGAAGAAGGAAGCUCUUGAGUCAGUUCUUAGGAACAACAAAGAAAAACAGAAGAAGAGGAGAUUGGUAAAGUAUGGGAAGAUUGUAAAUGAGAAGGUAGUGCCUCCAGCACUAGUUGUCGAUAUUGAUAAUGAGGUGGAUGAGGAACAUGGUUUCCUUAGUUCGUAAGUCCUCAAAGAAACUUACAAUUCCAAAGUCCAAGAAAGAGUCAUCUGUGAGUGAGAUGGGUUUAAGCAAUGUUGAGGGUGAAAAAUCUGGUGAGCAAGUAGUUAACAAAUCCGAUGAGAAAGCAGUUGCCAAGUCUGGGAAGAAAGUGACUGAAGAGUCGGUUGAACAAGUAUCUAAGAAAAACGUGUCUGAGAAAUAUGCUAAGAAAAGAAAGGGUGCAAGAAAAUCAGUGAAAAGGAAGGCUAGUGACAGUGAGGAACCUGGUUCCUCCAAGAAGGCUAAGGUUGGAGCAAACCAGGAUGCUAGAAGGGAAAAGUUAAGAUACGAAAAGGUGUUGUAGGGCUGUACAUUUUCCUUUGAUAUUCUUGACAUGUCAGGAAUGUGCCAACUGGUGGAUAUUUGUGAAUUCCAAUAGUGGACACAUAUGUUCACAAAUGACAGUCCCAAGGUGUAUGAGGCAGAAGUGCGUAGUCUCUAUGCUGACUUCUUCACAGUUGAGGAUGAUAACAUUUGCCUGCAAGUGAAUGGUGUUGAUUUUGUGAUGGAUACUGUUGUCCUGGGAACCAUUUUAGGCGUGCCAACUGAUGGGAUGUCCUCCAUUGAGGGGGACUGCUCUCCGAACUUCAGAAACGCCAUCGUGAAGGAUAAGGCAGUGCAGCAAGGGGAACAGGUACACAAGAAAGCCCUCCUUCCAGUGUGCCAAUUGCUAUUCAAAAUGGUGAACAAAGUUCUGCUCCCAUGUGCUGAAAGACGCUCCAUUACAUCACGAGCGGACAUGGUUCUCAUGGAAGCACUGGAUGGCUACAUCACUAUAAACCUUCCUGGUCUUAUGAUAUAGCACAUGAAAAAAGUGGCAGAGUUCAAGGAUGGUAAUCAUGGGUUGCCUUACGGGUGCCUCCUUACUAAAGUAUUUGAAUUCUUCAAAGUUCCCAUAGGAAAGGCUAAAGUAGGAACUCGCAAGCAAUCCUUCUCCAAAACCACCCUUGAAGAGUGUGAGUGCAUUGAUAGGAGUGGAGGGGUUGGCAGCAAUUCCACCAUCUCUCAACUGAUCAAUGCUCAAAAUAUUGCCACUGAAGAAAUAAGGAAGCUGAAGGCACGGAAUGCCAUUCUCAAAGGUCAGCUCAGUCAGACCCAGGAGGCACCUGGUUCCAGUAGUUCCCAAAGCACAGAGGUUUCCUGUCUGACAAAGGAAAAUGAUGCUCUCAGGAAACACGUUGAGGACCUGAAGGAAAGGUUGCUAACUGAGCAAGUGCUCACCAAUUCUCGAAUGGACAUCCUUCUUCGAACCCUUGCCUCUUCCUCUACCUCCAGUGCUCCUUAAACAGUCGUCCCAUUCCCAGUGUCAAGUUCUUAGUGUCUGUCAUCUGUUCUCUUUUCUUAUGCUUCGAGAUGUUUAUGACUGGUACCUUUUUGUGGUUUUUAAUUUUGUGCAUGAUUUGGUAACAACGGAACUGCUCCCUGUUUUCUUUCCCUAACUUAAUGAUAAUUUCAUCCUUUUGUUGUGCAUGUCUUGCUCUUUUGCUCUAUUUUGUAUUAUGUUGUAUGUACACAUAUGGCAUGAGUUAACCAAGCUAGACUUCUUUUUGCUUAUUGCUUGCUACUGAUCUUUUUAUGAUGCCAAAAGGGGAAGAUUAAAUUGAGGGGGAACAAGAUAGGGAACAACAGAUUCAGUGGGAAUUCUGGGAAACUUCAACUAUAAGUUUGUCAUCAUCAAAAAGGGGGAAAUUGAUAGGAUAUAUGCGUUCUUGUUAUGUUUUGAUGAUCUGACAAACUUACUGAUAAGGAACCUCAUACAGAUCCUCAAGUAUGUAAGAAUAACAAGUCUCAAGAUGGGGACGCGAAUCAUCUCUUAAGAGUCAAAGAAACAACAAGGGGAACAGAUAGAUACCAGUUCCCUUGGUGACCGUACCAGUCAACCUCCCAACAGUUGUAAAGUUGCAGCCUGCACACGCAACAGUGCAAAAUAGUGCAACAGUCAACUUCAUUGGAAAAGCCCUUGUACCAAACAUGCUUGCAUCAUUCAAGUGAUGUCACAUAUGUAAUAUCAAUAGUAAACCAAAGGCAAAACAUCACUGGAAGAAAAAAGAAUCGAUCCAGCAUUCUCUCAAGUCUGUGCAUCAAUACAGCGAGCGAUUCUCAAGGGCAUCAAGAACAAAGAACAACAUAACAAAGGACCAAUUUCUUGUGUUGAGUCAUUGCAUGUCCUUAGUUGUGUUGCACCUUUGUUAAAGCACUUUACUUGUGAUUCCUACUUAGCUAAGUUAGAAGCAUUGUGUAGGAAACUUUUGUAAAAUCAUAAACCUUGUGUUUGUGUCUUGGAUAGAGUUAGUCGAGUUGUAAGAUUUGUAAUAGAUUUAUUUAAAAGGGGCUUGUAAUAGAGUCGCUACAAGUUAGUGAGAGAUUAAGAGGUUAAUUCCUAGGUUACAUUAGGUUGUAAUAUGAAGAUUGCUCAGUAGUUGUAACGACCCGGCCAGUCAUUUUGAGUAUUAUAACCCCGUUUCCCCAUUUACUACUCAAUUUAUGCUUUACGGUUAUUUUAUGACUUGCCGGGGUAGUUGGUUUGGGUACGAAAGGAAUUCGGAGUGAAAUGAGACACUUAGUCUCAUAAUUGAAGAAUUUAAGUUAGAAAAGUGACAGGAUGUGGACUUAUGUGUAAAUGACUUCGGAUUUGAAUUUUGAUAAUUUCAAUAGCUCCGUAUGAUAAUUUCGGACUUAGGAGCAUGUCCGAAAAAUUAUUUGGAGGUCCGUGGUGGAAUUAGGCUUGAAAUGCCGAAAGUUGAAAUUUUAAAAAGUUUGACCGAGGGGUUGACUUUUUGAUAUCGGGGGUCGGAAUCCGAUUCUGAAAAUUUGAAUACCUCCGUUAUGUUAUUUAUGACUUGUGUAAAAAAUUUGAGGUCAAUCGGACGUAAUUUGAUAGGUUCUGGAGUCGUUUGUAGAAACUUGAAAUUUCAAAGUUCAUUAGGCUUGAAUUGUGGUAUGUUUCGUGGUUUUAGCGUUGUUUGAGGUAAUUUGAGGGUUCGACUAAGUUCAUAUGAUAUUUUAGGACCAGAUGGUAUGUUUGGUUGAGGCCUCGGGGGAUUAACAGAUUAUUUUAUGCCUUGGUGAGAUUGCUGAUAUCUGCUGCUGCAUUUUUUUGAUUUUCUCUUUCGCGUUCGCAAGUGGGCCCUCGCGUUCGCGAAGAGUGUUUUCUAAGUGUGAGGUUUUGUUCUUCGCGUUCGCGAAGGGGAUGAAGCGAACGCGAAGGUAUGGUCUAUGUGUGCAUCACGAACAAGUGUGAGGUCUCGCGUUCGCGAAGAGGAGUGAGGCUAUUGGGGACCCCAAGUCCUUGUUAUACGCGUUCGCGAGAUGGUGGUCGCGUUCGCGAAGGCCUGAGCUAGAAAAGCUUUGCGUUCGCGUAGCCGUGGUCGCGUUUACGAAGGGUAGGAUUUGUAAAGCUUCGCGGGUAAGAUUUGUAAAGCUUCGCGUUCGCGAAGCCACGGUCGUGUUCGCGAAGGGUUAAAUUUGUGGGCAGUCAAGUUAUGCUUCGCGAACGCGAGGGCCAUUUCGCGUUCGCGAAGAAGAGAGGUCUGGACAGAAAGUUUAACUUUGUCCCAUUUUCCAUUUUGUACGAUUUGGAGCUCGAAUUGAGGCGAUUUUUGCGAGAUUUUUAGAGGAAACAACGGGGUAAGUGUUCUUAACUCAAUAUUGGUCAACUUACCCAAAUUCAUGGUUCUUUUUAUCAUUUAAUUGGUGAAUUAAGUUGGAAAAGUUUGAAAACCUUUUUGGAUAAAUUUGAGGAUUUGAGGGCCGAAUUAUUAUCGGAAUUUAGUAAUUUUGGUAUGGAUAGACUCGUGGUAGAAUGGCGGUUCAUAUGUUAUAACUUUUGUCGAGUUCCGAGACGUGGCCCCCACAGGCGAUUUUUGGAGUUAAAAUUCGAUUUUUUAUGGAAAAAUUAUAUUUUCAUAUGGAAUUAAUUUCAAUUAAUUUUAUUGACUGAAACGAAUUAUUUGUGACUAGAUUCGAGGCAUUCAGAGGCCGAUUUGCGAGGCAAAGGCAUAGCAGAGUAAAGAAUUUCACACUCUGAGGUAAGUAACAAUUUUAAAUCUGGUCCUGAGUGUAUAAAACCCCAGAUUGUGACAUGAUCCAUCCCGUGGAAACUGUAAAGCUGAAUAACUUGUUGAUAGUUAUUUGCUCUCUAUGUGUUGUGAAAACUUGACUAUAAGUCAUGCUAGAAACCAUGUUUAGGCUAUAUGUUGGUAUUAUUGGGACCCACAGAGGUCAUGUACAUGUGAAUUAUCUGCUUAAAUUGUGGUUUUGUACUCAGUCACAACUUACUUGAUUAUUUUAUCUCAGUCUCUAAUAUUCAUUAUUGAUGUAUCAUAUCAUUGUUGUUUGGGCUGAAUUUAUGAUUGUGGAGAGUCCGGGAGACUGGAGAGCUUUAUGACUGAGUGAGGCCGAUGUCCUGAUUGUGAGAUAUUAUACUAUAGCACGUGAGUUGGUCGUGUAACACGUGAGUUGUCCGUGCAGAUCCUUAUAUUAUACUAUAACACGUGAGUUGGCCGUGCAACACGUGAGUUAUCCGUGCGGAUCCUUAUAUUAUACUAUAGCACGUGAGUUGGCCUUGUAGCAUGUGAGUUGGCCGUACAGAUUCAGAUAUUUAUAUUAUGGCGUGUGAGUUGUCCGUGCAGAUUAUAGUGCUUGGGAUGUAGGAGCCCCUCCGUAGUCUCUACACCCCCAGUGAGCGCGGGUACCCAUUGAGUGUAAGUGCUGAGGGUUGAGAGUCGAGUGGUUGAGUUGUUGUGACGAGUCGAGUGACUGUUGCCCUGAGAGGUUGUACUUGCUUUUCAUUUGUCGUUGCACUUAGUUGCUAUUUGUCAUUGUUGUGAAAUUCUCUGAAAGAUUUUAUAUCCGGAUUACAUGAACUUGAACUGUAUAAAUUGAUUUGGCUUAAACUGCUGGAUUUGAAAGCAUGUCUAUUCUUUGUUGGAGUUACUGGAAAUGAACUAUAACUGUGUAGCUCGUCACUAUCUUCAAUUCCUUAUUUAUUAUUGUUAUUUGCUGAGUUGGUUGUAUUCAUACUACACUCUGCACUUCGUGUGCAGAUCCAGGUGCUUCUGGACAUAGCAAGUGCUAAUUCUCUCGCACAGUUGAUUUUUCGGAGAUUCAGAGAUAGUUGCCGUGUUUCGCAGACCUUGUCUCUCCUUCCCUAUCUCCUUAUUUACUAUAUUUGGUCUUAGACUAUUAUAGAUCGUUUUCUUUUGACUUGUAUCCAUAUUAGAUGCUCAUGUACUUAGUGAUACGAGGUUUUGUGGAGUGUUCGUAUCAGUAUUGUGAGAUUAUGUAUUGUAUUUAAAUAUUAUAUUUUCAGACUUAAAGAAAUUGUGGUUUAUUAAGAUUUUCGACUUGCCUAGUAUCGAGAUAGGCGCCAUCACGACAAAUUGGGAUUUUGGAUCGUGACGGUAGUGGAGUUGAAAUCAUACAAGGGUAGGUCGUGAUUUUUAAUUCCGUGAGUUGAGAGUUUUCCACGUAAAAUUCCAUUGUGUCAUUUAGUUACUGCAGUGUGCGUACGUUUCAGUGGAAACUAAUAGAGAACAUGGUUCUUUAUAUAGUUUGGUGAACCCUUAGUUUCAAUAGGAUUGCAUGAAUCGAAAAACUUGAUUGGUAGCUUGGAGAUGGAAGAUAUAGCCAACAACUUUCUGAAUAUUUUAUUGCGGAAUUCGUUCUUGCAAGUUGCUAAAAGAGACGAAUACGAUAACAUUCAGUCUUUUACAACGCAUGAUCUUGUACAUACAUGAUCGAUCAUGCAUUAUUUGCAAUUUUGCAUAUAUCAAAAGGUUACUUCUUAACACAUUUAACAGUAAUAUUCUUGGUAUCAGUUAGAAGACAAAUAAAUGUAAGCACUACUAUUUGAUCAGUGAUGGGCGUGAGUUGUGAUUACUUCUUGGUAUAAGUUAUAAAAUGCAUGUCCGUCUAAUCUAGGCCUAAAUUUUUCCUUACUUGGUAUCUGAUAAUUGUACUGGAUAUUACAUGUCACAACAAAUAGAUUAGGAAAUAUUCUAUAAAUAAAUAAAUCUAGACCUAAAUUUUUUCUUAUCUUUAAUUCUCUACUUCUUUUUGUUAGAUCUAUUUGAUUUAGCCGAUUAACCGCCCGAUAAUCGCUAAUCCGAUAUCAAUCCGUCCGAUGUCUUAUUGGUUGGCUAGUGGAUUACUAUAUUUAUAAACAUGUUUACCCUUAAAAACAUAUAACAAUUGAAUUUAUACGUGGUUUUAAGGAUAUGUAGAUUAAUUCAAUACAAGUGAUUAAUGACGUUAGAAUAAGCAAAUAAAAGACGUAAUAAAUGACCAAACCAAUUAUAAGAAUGGGUCCGAACCCGGUUAAUGACUUAAUGAGGAACCUGUCUUCGGUUCCAAGCUUGCACUUAUGAAGAACUUAUGAACAAGAACUUUGAAUAGCUUUGAGAAACAGAAGUAUAUCGCCUUGGUAUGCGUGUUACAAUGUGUCUAAUGAAUAAUAAGCUUCCCAUUUAUAUAGUAUGAGAGUUUCAUCCUAGGUACAAUUCUAAGAAAGGUAAAAAUCUUUAUUUUUGCUAACCACUAAUUUUUUGUCGAUACGGGUCGAGAUUCGCGCUGUGAUAUCCGGUUAGGCACGGACAUCACGGCCCUUUGUUAGUCGUGUGCGGUUGUUUGGUAAAGCUCUCCGAGGUUAUGUGACUCGAACCAGACCCAGAGGACGUGGUCACGAUGGCUCCGAGAGCAAGUGUUUUGCUCGGGCCCUGAUACGAGAGGAUUUUCGCUCUGAUCCUGAUUCCUUACAUUCACGAUCCUGCUCCGUUUGCCUCCCCCAGAAAUCGGGGUGCUCCCUAGACUUGGUUUCACCCGAAUACAAAAUCGAUAAGCCAAACUGUUAAGCGUAAAUAUCCGCCCGAUCCGCCCGAUGAGCACCCUAUGUCAAAUCACUCACCAUUCAUUAUGUUAUUUAUGAGUUCUAUCAUUGGUUUAUUAGUUCUAAUGUUUAGUUUAAGCUGCUCUGUUAAUGCUAAUCACGAUACCAUUGCUACUAGGUCGUGCUCCAUCUUUAGGGUAAGAAUUUGUUUAGCAGGAUAGGAUAAUGAGUUGGACCUAUUAAUAGCCGAGUUCUCUUUAUAUAAAUAUUGCAUUUUAUAUAGUGAUGGAAAUAAUCCAAUUAAUACAAAAAAUUAAUCAAUCAAAUUCAACUGAUUUUAAUUAUUUUCAAGCUUUCUAAUUUUUUGUCUCUCUGGGUAGUGACUGCGAGUUUUUUUGAAUUCUUUUUCAAAAUAAUAUAAAAAUAAAAAUUGGGCAAUAGAGAAGACUCCCACCCCACCCCCACCCACCCGAUAUUUAUAUAUUCCGUAUUUGGUGUGCAUAUUUUGAUUCAUUUGUUUAGACUCACCUCCUCCGAAAAUUACUUUAAAUUAAAAUUAUCCCCGUGCUCCCAUGCUUAAAAAAAGAAAAAGGGGGGCGCUAAAUAGUUCUUUAUAUAAUACUACACUCUCCUACUCUUUUUGUCCGUUAUUCCCUUUGUUUCUUGUCGUAUCCUAAAGUUAAUUAUUGUUUUUCUUCGAAUUAUUAUUGGGACAUUAUACAUAUAAGUAAAAAAAUAUUAAAAUGAUAUUUGUAUAAUAUGGACGCACAUAGAUAUUUGCAAGGCGCGAAACCGUUGCACGAGGUCCACAUUCCACAGUUCAUACUAAAGAAAAUGCUGUCACUAUUUGACAUAAUUCGCCACAAAGGAAUCUUGUUUCUUGACUUAGAGAAUUACAAAAUGAUAUUGUAUAACGGCUCUUAAAUAAUAACUAAAAAUAUAUAUAUUUUAUUUAUUUUUUAUAAAUAUAUAUUUUAGUAUAUUAUAUACAAAAAAAUAUAUUUUAUAUUUGUUUUGCGACUAACGAAUAUAAAUAGUUUCAGUUGCGGGUUAAAAGUGAUCUUUUCUUAAAAAAUUACAUAAGAGGUAUUACCAUAUGUAUUACUGUAAUUAAUUAAAAGUAUUGUGGUACACAUAGUAAUGAGAGGUAAAAUGAAACAGAUGUACCUAUUAUUUACCCUAAAAAAUUGUAAUAGAGUGCUUUGGCAAUUAUUUAUUUUUUCAAAUAAUUGUUCCUUAUUGGAAAAAAAAAAGGAUAAAAUGGUACAAGUGAUAUUACAUGAGCCUCGAGUAUGAAAAAAAUCUUGUUAUGGAACGCUUCCCCUUAAACGGAUCUUAUAUAACGCGAAUUCAAAUAUAGUCGAACUCCAAUAUAGAUAGACAUUACAUAAGUAGUGACUCUUUUGGCAAGUGGGAGACAAAGUUGCCUAUGACAUCUAACGCCAACCACCAACAAAAACCAUAGCAGAUAUUUUUGCAAUCAUAGUAUUCUCACAAUGGGAAUACUUAGAAUAUUUUUAAGCCUGAUUCAAUAUUUAAAUAAUUAAACUAAUGAAUAAAUCACUAUAAUAAAAAGUGAUAUAUUUUUUAGAUUUUAAUAUUUUUACUUUACUUAAUAUUUAUACAUACAUAUUUGAUUAAAAAAAUGAAUAAAGUAAUAUUAUGUGACAUACUAAAGACGAGGUGCAUCAAACCAUAUAUUUCCAUGGUGGUCUCAGACAUAGGCAAUCUACCGUGCACGUGUAACUUAUGAGUUCAUGUAAUUUGGGUAUACAGUUAAACCUCUCUAUAAUAAUAUUAUUUGUUUCAAUAUUUUUGGCUUUUAUAGUGUGGUUAUUGUACACCUAUAACAUUAUUUGAUGUUUAAAUAUAUUUUAGAUGUUAUAAGCAAAAAAUAUCCAAAAAUUAUUUUUUUAAUGUUAUAUAUAAAAGAUAAGAAAAUUAUCAAAUUUAAAUACGCAAAAGAUAUGUAAAUUUUACUAAUUAAAUAUUAAAGAAAGCUAACACAUUAUUAAUAAAUACGUAACUAAAUAUAUAAAAAUUUAAACUCUAAAACAUACAUUUUAAGGCUACUAGAAGAUUAAAUUAUUCAAUAUUGAUUAAAAAACUCUAUAUAUAAUUGUAGCUUGUUUUUAGUAUUUUACUAGCGAUAUAACACUUGAAUUAGCGAAGAUUUGCAUCGAGACUUUCAACAAAGGAUAUUUAAUAGCUUUCUCUUGAAUGCAAUCUAAGAGCUUAACAGUUGAAUCUUUUAUCUCGGUCCAAGUAGCAGUAGGUUAUGUAAAAAUCUUUAAACUUAUUAUUGGCUAUCUUAUUAGAAAUUCUACAUGGAUAUUAUAUAAGAAUAAUUUUAAAGUUAUAUCUAUAAAAGCAACAUCCAUCUUUCUACAUGAAUAAUUUUAUAAAGAGCAAUAUAACACUUGAAUUAACGAAGAUUUGCAUCGAGACUUUUAACAAAGGAUAUUUAAUAGCUUUCUCUUGAAUGCAAUCUAAGAGCUUAACAGUUGAAUCUUCUAUCUCGGUCCAAGUAGCAGUAGGUUAUGUAAAAAUCUUUAAACUUAUUAUUGGCGAUCUUAUUAGAAAUUCUACAUGGAUAUUAUAUAAGAAUAAUUUUAAAGUUAUAUCUAUAAAAGCAACAUCCAUCUUUCUACAUGAAUAAUUUUAUAAAGAGCAAUAUAACACUUGAAUUAACGAAGAUUUGCAUCGAGACUUUCAACAAAGGAUAUUUAAUAGCUUUCUCUUGAAUGCAAUCUAAGAGCUUAACAGUUGAAUCUUCUAUCUCGGUCCAAGUAGCAGUAGGUUAUGUAAAAAUCUUUAAACUUAUUAUUAGCGAUCUUAUUAGAAAUUCUACAUGGAUAUUAUAUAAGAAUAAUUUUAUAAAGAGCGUAAUGUUAUAAAGAUGGAUGUUGCUUUUAUAGAUAAUAAAAUUAUUAUAGAGAGAUAAAAUGAAAUAUAAAAAAUCGAUUCCGAGAAAAACUUGACUUUUAUAAUGAAUGAUUGUUCCGAUAUAUGCGUCUAUAAAGAGAUCUGACUAUAUAUCUUAUAUAUAUAUAUAUAUAUAUAUGUUAGGAAUAUAAGUAAAUAUUUAAUUAUAAAUUUAAUUAUUAUAAUUUAAAUUCACGAUAAAAAUAAAAAUUAUAAACUUUAAAUUCUGUUUGACAAGGGACCACCGACGAUUUGCCCGUUACCUUGAGAUCUGCAAAGCACAGGUAGCUGUGGGUCCAAAAUUCAAGAUCUCCGACCGCAUGCUGUCGGCGGAGAUCUAAUGCACAGCUCUCGUUAAACUUAAGUUUGGCCAAUGCAUUCUUGAUUUCUAGUACUCCACGACAGCUUAAUCAAAAUAAAUUAAUAGCAUUCAUUUUAUUAAAUUAUUUAAAUAUCGAAUGUGAAUAAUUUUUUUUAUUGAAUUUAGAUGUAAUAUAAAAUUAAUCAAAUAAAAAUUAUAAAUAAAUAAACCUUUGUGAUCCGAUCCUUUUUCGGACCUUGCACAUAGCAGGAGUUUAGUUUAUCGGAUUACGUUCUAAAUGUCUAAUUCAUUAGUAUUACUUACACAAUAUACUCUCAAUUCUAAUUCACCUCAAUUUUCACUUUGUCGGUAGCUAAGAGUAAUUAUGAAUAUCCUUUUAUCAAUAUUGGACCUCAGAGUUUAUCCAUUGCAAGGAAAAAAGUUGUAAAAUGUUUGUGUCACUUAAUCAAAUGCUAGUAGUAGUAGUGGCAUAGUCCUUUUGCCGCACCGCAUUUCUGCGUGAGCAUUGGAGUAACAGUAGAAUUAUUUCCGUGUGAUCUAUAAAUUAUAUAUUUAAAUCGUGAAAUUAACCAUUAAUAUUUUAUAUUAGAUAAAUUGUUUAUAUUGUAUCUUUUGAGAUAUAAUUUUUUUUCGAACGUUGCAUGAAUACGAAAUACGUUGGGUAUCGUGAUGCCUCUCCCAACGGGCAGAGAGAAAGCACGAAAAAGAGAGUGCAAAUGAAAGAAUACGAUAAUUACAAUAUAAAGGAAUUGACCUGUACUUUAGAGUGGCAGUUGUAGAAGUGAAAAGGAUGGAAGAUUUCAAAAAGAAAAAAAAAAGAAAAAACAAUCACUAUACGAAAUUAAUGUGUGCAUAAUGCUUAUAGUAAUUGUUACAACCCAUGUUUUUGUACGUGAAAGGCCGUCAUAAGUAAAUUAAUGAAAGCUCGAAAAUGAGAUAUUACAUUUCGCAUUUUUGUACGUUAAAGUUUCGUCGUAAGUUAAUCGACGUAAAUUCGAGAAUGAGACUAUUCUGGGAUUAUAAGUAUUAUGUUAUUUCAAACAAGUGAUGAGUAAAUUCUUGAAGAUGAGAGGGUAAGAAAAUCAAAAAAAUAAAUUUCGUCGAAGUUUGACAUUUUGGGAUACAAUGCGACCCGAGCUAAAAUACCCGAUAUUUAUGGACUAGUGUCAUACAAGGUACCACAUGACCAUGAUAGCAAGGUGUAUAAUGUGUGUUAAUUAUGUGUAUAAUUGAGUAAUUAUCGGUCAGUGGGAGAUUAAUAAGAUAAUCAAGAAGAUUAGUAAAUAAUUAUGAUUAUGGGAUAAGGCCUAAAAGGACCAAAACGUGGCAGCCACUAUACAAUUAGUGAUUCUUGAAUUGAAUUGCUAGGUGGCACCUUUAGAGGACCUCUUAGCUAAGCCAUAAAAGGCUUCUUAAAUUCAACAAAAGAUAUGUAAGAUUUUGAUCAAAAAUUCACAAAAUAAGAGAUUCUCACCUCCUCCCAUCUCCAAGUAAUGAUCUCCAUAGCAAUAUACAUUGCUUUAGCAAAACAAAAUGUUAGUAACAUGAGUUACUUCACAAAAAAGGGCGCUUAAUCUAAUCUACAAAGUGACGGAUCUCCAACCAAGAAAUUCAUACGAAGUUAUACUACGUAAUAGCAACAGGAUUUGUAAUUUUAAGGGAGUACGGUGUAAUCUUUCUCAAGAAUAUCAUACGGAUUUUCUCCUGCUUCGAUCCGCCGUCACUUGUUAUCGCAAUCAACGGGUGUUAAAGGGGAUUGUCAAGAGAAUCAGCUCAGGUAUGUAAAGGCUAAGCCCUUCUUUCAUAUUGGCAUGAUCUCGUAAUUAUAUGUGUUUGAUAACGAGGCAUAAAGAGAAGUUCAUACUUCCGAAUUUAUAUACAUUAUCCUAGUCUCAUAAAUUACAAUAUUCUCCUUAUCGGGACUUCAUAUUUAAUUGAGUAUUGCNNNNNNNNNNNNNNNNNNNNAGAUACAUAGCCUAGUAUGGCCGAGCGCCUAUGAGCGACCCUACUACGACAGAGCAGUUAUAUAUACCGAGCCUUAUAGGGCCGGAUAAUUAUUUUACUUACUAUAUUGAGAGAGUUGAGUCAGUAUCAGCAGGUAAGCCUAUCUUCAGAUUACGUUUGACUCCUAGUUACUUUCAGUUAUUAUACUAUCAGUUUAGUUUCAGCUUUCGGUAUAUUGCCUUACAUACUCAAUACAUUAUUUCGUACUGAUGUCCCUUUUCUGGGGGCGCUGCAUUUCAUGCGUGCAGGUUCAGUCAGACAGACGGGUAGACCUCAUCAUUAGGUGUUGCCUGAGUUCAGCUUGAUCGGUAAGCUCCAUGCCCUCCGGAGUUGCCGGGUUUAGAGCUUUAUGUACAUCUUGUGUAUACAUGUAUAUAUGUUAUGAGUAGGUCGGGGCCCUAUCCCGGUCAUAGUAUAUCCAUCAGUAGAGGCUUGUAAUAUCCUGUCAGUUUGUGCAGUAUGUUGGGCUUGUAGGCCUUGUAUGUAUAUUUUGUUGGUUUGUCAGCUGUAGUAGUUAUGACGGCAUUCUCGACCCAGCUUUAUAUUGAUGUCUAAUCAGUGUUCGCAAAUUGUCUUGCAAUGUGGCCUAUGGCCAAGGUGUGAUAUUAUAUGUUCAGAGUCCCUUAGUCGCAAGUUGGUACACAAGGAUGGAUGAGGCACCGGGUGCCGGUCUCGUCCUCCAGGUUCGGGGCGUGACAAAAGUAGUAUCACAGCAGUUCUGUCCUAGGGAGUCUACAAGCCGUGUCUAGUAGAGUCUUGUUUAUGGGUGUGUUGUGCACCACACUUAUAAGCAGGAGGUUAUAUGGUAUUUAGGACUGUCACUCUUUCUUCUUACUCUAGAUCGUGUAGUAGAGCUCAAUUGUAAGAACUCAAUUUCCUAAACUCUGUCUUAUUCAUAAUACGACGAUGUCUACAUCCAGAAAGACGGUUGGUAAAAGAUUGCAUGUGGCUACAGAAGAGUUGAGUUAGAGGAACUCGAUUCUGCAUGAUGCUUAUGAUGAGUAAAUGUGAGGUCUUCAGCAGAUCAUGUGUGUACUAAAAGGUAUAAGCUUCUUGAUUAGAAGCCCUAAGGCAUGGAUAUCUAUCCACCCAUGUGGUAAAUAGCAACGACAGAAUCAAAAGGUACAAGUUUCAACAAGUACAAGAAGCGAGGUGAAAAAGGGUUUGAGGUACCUAGUUAGUAAGGAUGAACAUUAUCUACAAUUCGGGAAGAGAGAUAUAAGCAUUUUGAGUUAUCUUCAACAACAACAAAUGUAUGUACAGUCGGCCACAUCCAUCUCAGUCAUGACCUAUGGGAGCAAACAGAUAUGGUUUAAGAGAAGGACAGGAUAUCAGGAUCCGGCUGGGGUUAGAGUAACCCAAAAUGAUAGAUGGAUUGUUUGAGUUAGUUGAUAUUUUCGAAGGAUAUUACAAAGGUGCUAAUAGACCUCCUUGUGAGACACCCAGAUGAUACACUCUAGAAUAUUACAAUUAGAUGUGAAUACUAGCAUGAUCAAAAAAUUCAGAAGAUAGGCACUGAAAGCCUGGAAGGGAUAAAGAUUACCUUAGUGUGGCUUCCGUCCCUAGUAGAGCGAGAACGUUGAGCAAACCGAAGAGCCAAUGAAUGAAACAAGGGGAGUUAAAAGCAAAAGAAUGUCUUGUUGAAGUUUUCAAAAGAAAGCGAUAGGCAGAAAUAUUAGCAGGGAAAUAAGAAGAGAGAUAAGGAAGCAUUAUGAGUAAGAUGUGAUACAUGGAUGACAACGGUAGAUAAAAAAGAUGAUAGUAUUACAGAGUAUAUAGUCAAGUGAAGGAAAAGACGAGAGGUGACAGGCCUUGAGACGACAAAAGAGUAUAGGCCAUAAAGUCAAAUCCUCAUUUCGAGAAAUAAGUUUGUGACUCCAACGCGACUACCAAAAGGAAAAGUUAGAUCCCAAAGUAAUAAAAAUCAGUAUGGGCUAGUGAACAAGAUAAACUAAACAAGAAUUAGGGACUGAAUGAUUUGAUAAUGGUCGACAUCAUGAGAAUUUCAUAUUGCGUUCUGGCGAUAAUAGAAUGGACAACAGAAGAAGAUUCAUGAGAAAUUCAGAGAAUGGUUAUUCAGGAAGAUGCCUCCCUAAAGCAAGCAAUGUAAGAAAAGUUAAGCUUAAGGGACUGUAUGUGCCAGUUGCACUAAGUGUCACCAUCGGGAGUAAGGAAUUUUGUUAUCCUUGGUAUAGAAGGACUACCGCAAGGUGAGUAAGGGUCAUCGAUGAUGUGAAAGGACGCCAAAGAUGAAGAGGUAAAAUAUCUAUAGAUAGGUCGUAGUAGCUCCAACUCUUAGCACUCCCAUAAAUGGGGGAAUAUGGAGUGAUGUGGUAUUAAGUCAGAAUUAAGUGGUUCUAGUACUUAUGGAAUGGUAAGGGAAGAAUGCGAAAAAAAAUGAAAAAGGGAUGAGAUUGCACUUAUUCAAAUCCUACAAAUAUGCUACGAUUCCAGAACAUUAUGCAAACACGACGUCAAGAAAAGGAAGUAAGGGUCCUUGCCCGAGAUGUUAUUAAUAGAUAAGGAUCCAGUGCGAGACGUAAGUUAAGACAAAGAAAAUAACCCAAGAUAGAUUACACGAAAUAUUGAUAUGAGAAUGGGCCAGCGAGUAGUUAGUAAUUGAUUCAGGAAGAGCCUAGUUAUGGCUAAACAGGAGGUUACAGACGAGUCAGCAGAUCGUGCUAGAUNNNNNNNNNNNNNNNNNNNNNNNNNCCUUAUGAGUGUUAUAGGAAUAAAAAGAAAGACCCUACUAGGAAGACAGUCAAAACUUCAGAAGCAACCGUACGAGCACAUGAGUGUGGAGGAGUCAGAGGGUCUCCCCUAAGUACUAAAAUGAAAAACUAGCUGAGGAAAUAAGAAAGAAGGUUUCAACCUAAGCACAGUGAUCUAAAGAGGAAAUGGUCAUGUAACAACAGUCUCACAACAACAUUAUAUGACUCCAUGAGAAGAUGCCACCUACCGUGGCUAAUGAACGGGAAGUAAAAUCAGAAGUAAUACUCGAGAUCAUAUGAGUUGCACGAAAAUUCUGGCAUACGUAGGAACUAAGAUAAGCUGAGUAGGCACGCAACAAGGAGGCAGAAAGACCAGAAAAAGUAAUAGCUUACGUUUAAAGGAAGCUUAGAAGGAACGAAAGCAAUUAUUCAAUCACUGAUCCAGAGUUAAUUACGUUAUGAACACACUUAAGAGUUUGGAGUAUUAUCCAUCCAGUAUAUAUGUUGAAAACCAUAUAGCCGUAGAAGAUUCCGGUAUAAGUUAAAAGAAAGAAUUGAGCCCAAGUCAUAGACAAAUGAUUGAAUUGUUAGGAGAUAGUAUCAUGGAUAUUCCAUAGCGUCCAUGAAAGGCUAAAGUAAUAACUAAUACUAGGAGCCGUAAAUCGAAAGAUAGCUCAAGCCUACAUAAAGGUUGAUCAAAGGGAAGAGGAAACUAAAGAGUUACAUUAACCAAGUAAAUCAAGAGUCUGAUUAUUGGACCCAUAAAUUUAUAGACCUCGUGAUUAAAAACAUUGCAGGAUCACUCUUAAAUAUUGUAGGUACAAGAGAGAUAGUGCAGUAGCCAUAUUCUAUAACGGCUCUACGAUAAAGCCAGUAAGAAGAGUACCAGCCUUAUAAGAAGUCAGUAUAAAGCUCCCACCAGAUUGUGUAUGCACCAAAUGUGCAAGUAUUAUAAUAAGAGCUUCAAGUUGUGGAUGUGAAUUAUACCUAUGUGGAAGGGAUGUCAUAAAAGAGAUAGAAGAUAUGAUGCGAGAUUUUAAGGCAAAGGUGAACAACGUACGAGAUACUCAGGUGCAAAAGUUUAUGAAUAAUCUAUACAUCAGAUAUACGGCUAGAAGUGCCGGGAUUCAGUAUCCAGGAAUGAUAGCGGCGUCAUCAGUAGCAUAUCUUCCAACCUAUGUUUUUUUUUAAAUAUCGAGAGGUCUAGCUAAAAGAGUAAAGAAGAGUUUGAGACGAUGUGAUGUCUCGCUUGAUGUUCCAGAAUAACAUAAGAAAAUCUAUGGUGCAAGUAAGUUAAAGGAAGAUGGUGAAAUAUAUAAAUAAAUAUGUGUAGGUCGCAAGCUAAAGUAUGGUAAAGCGACAAGGUUUUAAGAAGACAAAAGUAAGGAUAAAAAAGGGCGAGUGAGAAGGUGAUGAGAAACGGAUAAGUUAUCGGGAUUAAGCCCGUGAAAACAAGAGAGUUGAUGAUUUCUCUAAGUUAUAAAAAGCUCAGUAUGGCCUGAAUGAACUCAAAGGAGUUACUCAUCAUAAAUAGCGUUUAGAAGAGAUGGAAUGAUGCUCUGAUAGUAGAAUAAAGGUGUAAUUGUGUUAGAUAAAUGAUGACGUUUGAGCCUUCGAUUGAGUAAUGAUUUAAAGAAAAGGAUUCAUGAAUUAUAAGGGAUUAAAAUACCCACGUAAGGUGAAUCACAUUGGAAUGCCAUGAAAUACGAUGGAAGUAUAGUAUCACCCCCAGGUGGGUCAGGAAAAUUACUUCAAAUGUUACUCGAUGCAACGUGAGCCCUAGCGAUUAUGUAAGAAGUUUCAAGUUAUCAGUGGUAAAUUGUAGAUCAAUAUUGAGGUGAAUCAACAAUGGAUGGACAAAAUUCACAAAGUAUGAGACGAGAUUAGGCUGUCAUUCUUAAGAUGAACAGUAAUGAAAGAGCAUUAAAGGACUUGAAUUUAUACAUAUGGGAUAAGCAACGAAAGUAACCUGGAGUUUGGUAGCAGACCUCAGUAAGGAUAAAUCAAAGUAAGAGUUAUAGUAUAGUAUGACCUACCUAGGUAUAGUAAAGUUAUACGGAUGGAUAAACGAAAUAAGGUAUAGCAAUAUUCGUGAGUUCAACAAAGUGCCGAACAAAGAACUUCGAUAUACCCAUAGAUGCCCAAAGGGACAUCUUAUCAAGCUCUGUAUAUGUUUACAAAGUGAAGUCUAGAGAUUGGGUAAAAGCUGGAGGAAAAAGGAAAGAAGAGUCGCAUAGGCGUAUUUACAAGGAAAAAGUCGUACAGGCUGCAUAACAGAAGGUAGCAAGAGUUACGAGAUUGGAAGAAUCUCGACCAUAGGCCGUGGUGUACGAAAGAGACCUACAAGUGGGAAUACCUUGGACUUUGGAUUUAUUCACAGAACAACUGCCUAAGAUGGUAAGGGGAGUACUAAAGUAUUCGCAAGGACUAUAGGCUAUGAUAAUGAUAAGUGCAUCAGUCAAUAUUCGAAGACGAAUAUUCCAAAGGGGGGAAUGAUGUUACACCCCAUUUUUUCGUACGUGAAAGUACGCCAUAAGUAAAUUGAUGAAAGCUCGGAAAUGAGAUAUUACAUUUCACAUUUUUGUAUGUUAAAGUUUUGUCGUAAGUUAAUCGACGUAAGUUUGGAAAUGCGAUUAUUUUGGGAUUAUAAGUAUUAUACUAUUUCAAACAAGUGAUGAGUAAAUUAGUGAAGAUGAGAGGGUAGGCAAAUCGAAAAAAAUGAAUUUCGUCGAAGUUUGACAUUUUGGGAUAGAAUGCGGCCCGAGCUAAAAUACUCGGUAUUUAUAGACUAGUGUCAUACAAGGUACCACAUGACCAUGAUAGAAAGGUGUAUAAUGUGUGUUAAUUAUGUGUAUAAUUGAGUAAUUAUCGUUCAGUAGGAGAUUAAUAAGAUAAUCAAGAAGAUUAGUAAAUAAUUAUGAUUAUGGGAUAAGGCCUAAAAGGACCAAAACGUGGCAGCCACUAUACAAUUAGUGACUCUUGAAUUGAAUUGCUAGGUGGCACCUUUAGAGGACCUCUUAGCUAAGCCAUAAAAGGCUUCUUAAAUUCAACAAAAGAUAUGUAAGAUUUUGAUCAAAAAUUCACAAAAAUAAGAGAUUCUCACCUCCUCCCAUCUCCAAGUAAUGAUCUCCAUAGCAAUAUACAUUGCUUUAGCAAAAUAAAAUAUUAGUAACAUGAGUUACUUCACAAAAAAAGGCGCUUAAUCUAAUCUACAAAGUGACGGAUCUCCAACCAAGAAAUUCAUACGAAGUUAUACUACGUAAUAGUAACGGGAUUUGCAAUUUUAAGGGAGUACGGUGCAAUCUUUCUCAAGAAUAUCAUAGGGAUUUUCCCCUACUUCGAUUCGCCGUUACGUGUUGUCGCAAUCAACGGGUGUUAAAGGGGAUUGUCAACAAAAUCGGCUCAGGUAUGUAAAGGCUGAGCCCUUCUUUCAUAUUGGCAUGAUCUCAUAAUUACACGUGUUUGAUAACGAGGCAUAAAGAGAAGUUCAUACUACCGAAUUUAUAUACAUUAUCCUAGUCUCAUAAAUNNNNNNNNNNNNNNNNNNNNNNNNNNNNNNNNNNNNNNNNNNNNNNNNNNNNNNNNNNNNNNNNNNNNNNNNNNNNNNNNNNNNNNNNNNNNNNNNNNNNNNNNNNNNNNNNNNNNNNNNNNNNNNNNNNNNNNNNNNNNNNNNNNNNNNNNNNNNNNNNNNNNNNNNNNNNNNNNNNNNNNNNNNNNNNNNNNNNNNNNNNNNNNNNNNNNNNNNNNNNNNNNNNNNNNNNNNNNNNNNNNNNNNNNNNNNNNNNNNNNNNNNNNNNNNNNNNNNNNNNNNNNNNNNNNNNNNNNNNNNNNNNNNNNNNNNNNNNNNNNNNNNNNNNNNNNNNNNNNNNNNNNNNNNNNNNNNNNNNNNNNNNNNNNNNNNNNNNNNNNNNNNNNNNNNNNNNNNNNNNNNNNNNNNNNNNNNNNNNNNNNNNNNNNNNNNNNNNNNNNNNNNNNNNNNNNNNNNNNNNNNNNNNNNNNNNNNNNNNNNNNNNNNNNNNNNNNNNNNNNNNNNNNNNNNNNNNNNNNNNNNNNNNNNNNAGUAUCAGCAGGUAAGCCAAUCUUCAGAUUACCUUUGACUCCUAGUUACUUUCAGCUAUUAUACUAUCAGUUUAGUUUCAGCUUUCGGUAUAUUGCCUUACAUACUCGGUACAUUAUUUCGUACUGACGUCCCUUUUGUGGGGGCGCUGCAUUUCAUGCGUGCAUGUUCAGUCAGACAGACGGGUAGACCUCCUCAUUAGGUGUUGGGAGUUCAGCUUGAUCGGUAAGCUCCAUGCCCUUCGGAGUUGCCAGGUCUAGAGCUUUAUAUACAUCUUGUGUAUAUAUGUUAUGAGUAGGUCGGGGCCUGUCCCGAUUACAGUAUAUCCAUCAGUAGAGGCUUGUAAUAUCCUGUUAGUUUGUGCAGUAUGUUGGGCUUGUAGGCCUUGUAUGUAUAUUUUAUUGGUUUUUCAGCUGUAGUAGUUAUGACGAUCUUGUCGACCUAGCUUUAUAUUGAUGUCUAGUCAGUGUUCGCAAAUUGUCUUGCAAUGUGGCCCAUGGCCAAGUUGUGACAUUAUAUGUUCAGAGUCCCUUAGUCGCAAGUUAGUACGCAAGGAUAGGUGAGGCACCGAGUGUCGGCCUCGUCCCCUAGGUUCGGGGCAUGACAGUAAUUGCCAUGAUUAUCUUCCCCCCCUAGACUAUCUUGGUCAUGUUAAUCACUAUGUCAUGAUCUUCAUGUUGAGAUUGAAAAUAACAAGACGUCAUACGGAAGUUAACAAAAUAACCUUUUGGCAACAAUAAAUUAGACGAUAUAGAAAUAUUUAUUAAAAAAAGACGUACUAAUUAGUGACCUACAUUAAUCUACUAGUAUAAAAGAGGAAAAAAACUUAUGAGAGAAUAAAUUAUCUCUUUAAGCAAAACUCUCUAAAGUACUACAUUGUAGUCUCUAGAUACUUUUCUAUAUUAUUUUUCUAUGAAGGAGAGAUAAUCAAUUUAUAGUGGUUACAACUUUUUUUUCACGAAAGAGAUCUAUCAAAUAAGGAAGAGAUCUAUAUUUUCCUUUUAGGAAAAAUAAAAUUAAUUAUGGUAAACUCUUUUAUUUUCAAUAAGAAAAAGUAAAAUCCAAAUAUGAAAAUAAAAUGAGAACAAAAUACAAACACUUCAAACAAUUCUUACUUUAAAAAUUUGCGUGUGAUAUUAAUUAGAAGCUGAACCAGAAAUUUUAACAAGGAAUUCAAAAUAAGCUGCACUAAAAGUUUUUGUCAUUAGAAAAAAUUUAAAGUUAUAUAUAUUACACAAUUUUUUUUUUUAAUCUUAUAUGAUGAUAAUAUUUUCGGCAAAGGUAAUCAACUUAACCUUUCUUUAUACAUAGCUUCGCGAUUAGAUUAAUAAUGAAAAUAAUACUUUAAAGUUUGAAAAGAAAAUAUUAUACUAUAUAUUCUCUCAAAAUAAAACCAAGUAAAAUAGAUCAUAAAACAAUAAUGACCACCCACCUCCCAAAUCUCUCAUCCUUUUAUUUAUUUAGAUUUUUAGUUAACAAAUUUCCAGAUCUACCAAACCCCAAUAUAUCCAAUCAAAUUUUCAGAUCUAAAAAUAAAAAUUUCAGAUCUGAAACAAAUCGUGACCGUCCAUUUUCAUCCAUCAAACCUAUUUAAUACCACUCACCUCCGUCCUCAAUUCCUUGCAACGCUCUUCUCCUCUAAAAACCCCUUUAGAAGAAGAGAAAAAAGCCUCUCAAAUCUCAUCUCUAACCACCCAAUUUCUCAUACUCGCUCUACCCAUGGCUCUAUUAGUCGAGAAGACCACCUCUGGCCGCGAGUACAAGGUCAAGGACAUGUCUCAGGCCGAUUUCGGCCGGCUUGAAAUCGAGCUGGCCGAAGUUGAAAUGCCUGGUCUCAUGGCUUGUCGUACUGAAUUUGGCCCUUCACAGCCAUUUAAAGGUGCUAAGAUUACUGGAUCUUUACAUAUGACCAUUCAAACUGCAGUUUUGAUUGAAACCCUUACUGCUUUGGGUGCUGAAGUUAGAUGGUGUUCUUGCAACAUCUUCUCCACUCAAGAUCACGCCGCUGCUGCCAUUGCACGUGACAGCGCCGCCGUGUUCGCGUGGAAGGGUGAGACUCUGCAGGUAUAGUGAACAUUUAUGUGAUAUUCUUUCCUUAGAAUCUCUCUAAAAGUGAGAUCUUUCUAUAUUUGGAAAUAGUUUAACUUUAAACUUAUGUGAUUUGGUUAUAGCCAAACAAAUAUUAUAGCUUGUUUAAUAUAUGUGAUACUUUUUGUUUUUAGUUUUGUUCCAAUAAAAGUGAUUAUCUUUCUAUAUUUAGAAAGGCGAUUUAUAGCUACAAAAAUAUCUAGAGCUUGUUUUGGAUCUCAACUCUCAAAAUUGAGUGGAUAAGAUGUAGUGACUUUAUUCUGUUAAAAGAUGGUAAAAAGAAAGAUAUUUUUCUAUAUUUAGUACUAAUAACUUAACUUUAAUUUUUUCGAAUUGCUUAAUAAGAUAAUUUAUAGGUAUGCCUUGUUUUAGAUCGCAACUUUCAAAGUUGAGUGGACAUAGUUUAGUGAGUUUAUUGUUAUAAGAUUGUAAAUUUCAGUUAUUUUUAACUUGACUUGUGACAAAAAAUAAUUUUGUGAUUUUAUAGUUAUAGUUGGUGAUGCAUUUUAAUGAAUUUGCAGGAGUAUUGGUGGUGUACUGAGAGGGCACUUGACUGGGGUCCAGGUGGUGGGCCCGACUUGAUCGUCGACGAUGGUGGUGAUGCUACACUCUUGAUUCAUGAGGGUGUUAAGGCAGAAGAAGAGUUUGCUAAGAAUGGGACAAUCCCAGAUCCUAACUCUACCGAUAAUGCUGAGUUUCAGCUUGUACUUACUAUUAUUAAGGAAAGUUUGAAGACUGAUCCUUUAAAAUAUACCAAGAUGAAGGAAAGACUCGUCGGUGUUUCUGAGGAAACUACCACUGGAGUUAAGAGGCUUUAUCAGAUGCAGGCUAAUGGAACUUUGCUUUUCCCUGCUAUUAAUGUUAAUGAUUCUGUUACCAAGAGCAAGGUAUAUACUUGUUUUCGUAUUUUAUUUUGUUUCUUGUGUUUCAGAUCUAUGUGGAUUGGUUGUAUGGAUUGUUUGUUUUAUUUAGAUCUGAUAGGAAUGGUUGAUCAUUACUUGGAUCAUUAAGUUAUACUUUUUACUUAAUGUUGGUUGAUUUGUAUUGUUUAAGUAUAGGGUAAAUUGUUAGUUGAUGAAUCUUAUAAAUGAAUCUUUAAUUGUUUUGGUAAGUGGAGGAAAUAGAUUUGCCUUCUGGACUUUAAAAGCUAAAAGUUGACAUCUUUUCCAAUUAGACUAUUUUGUUUUUGUGUUUGUAUUCACUGAAUAGAAAGUUGUAACUCGAUUUGGUGAAAUAUUUAUGUGAUAGAUGCAAAUUUCACUAUAUCUUUAUUGUUAAGUAGAGAGUAGAUGGUUUCUUAAAUGCCUGAUCUUGGUACAUAAAGAAAAAGGAUAUUUAUUUCAUUUCCUAAGAAAGUUCAUCGACUUUCUUGUAUCAAUUGUUUGCUUAGAGGAAAAGAAUGAUUAAUCUUUUGGGUUUAAAUAUUUAAUGCUUGAAGUGUACAAUUUUCCUCUUACUCUACUGAAGAAUAGCUCCAUGUUUGACCAAUAGAAGUCUAAUUCAUUUGGAAAAGCUACUGUGUCUUUUGGCUCGCUAGCCAUAUUGGUUUGAGGAAUCAAGUGUGAUAUUGUCCUCAAGUUGUUGGAGAUGCAUAAAAUAGUACAUCUUGAUUAGCUUUCUACCAAUGUUAUGUCUGUUAUUUAGCUCAUAGACUGACAAUUGUAUUGAUCCAUUUGGUUUCCAGUUCGACAACUUGUACGGAUGCCGCCACUCACUGCCCGAUGGUCUCAUGAGGGCUACUGAUGUUAUGAUUGCCGGAAAGGUUGCCCUUGUUGCUGGUUAUGGAGAUGUCGGCAAGGGUUGUGCUGCUGCCUUGAAACAAGCCGGUGCCCGUGUGAUUGUGACCGAGAUUGACCCUAUCUGUGCUCUCCAGGCUACCAUGGAAGGCCUCCAGGUCCUUACUCUAGAGGAUGUCGUUUCUGAUGUUGAUAUCUUUGUCACCACGACCGGUAACAAGGACAUUAUCAUGGUUGACCACAUGAGGAAGAUGAAGAACAAUGCCAUUGUUUGCAACAUUGGUCACUUUGACAACGAAAUCGACAUGCUUGGUCUCGAGACCUACCCUGGUGUCAAGAGGAUCACAAUUAAGCCUCAAACCGACAGAUGGGUCUUCCCUGACACCAACAGUGGCAUCAUUGUCUUGGCUGAGGGUCGUCUCAUGAACUUGGGAUGUGCCACAGGACACCCUAGUUUUGUGAUGUCGUGCUCGUUCACUAACCAAGUCAUUGCCCAACUCGAGUUGUGGAAUGAAAAGAGCAGUGGGAAGUAUGAGAAGAAAGUGUA
This 74909-nucleotide long non-coding RNA is filed under the name Nicotiana tabacum (common tobacco). RNAcentral describes it as "long non-coding RNA (NTAB_LNC013232)". The record is from RNAcentral. Lineage: Eukaryota; Viridiplantae; Streptophyta; Magnoliopsida; Solanales; Solanaceae.